This 44534-nucleotide long non-coding RNA is filed under the name Coffea arabica (coffee). RNAcentral describes it as "long non-coding RNA (CARA_LNC005427)". Lineage: Eukaryota; Viridiplantae; Streptophyta; Magnoliopsida; Gentianales; Rubiaceae. The record is from RNAcentral.
UUGGAUUCUCUUGCUCUGCAGCUCUGCUGGGGAUGUCUAACAUUUCCUUAUCACUGCGAGGACUUUCUUUUUCAGAUCCAUUCCCCAAUUCCUUUUUCAUAAAAUCGUUUUCUCUUUCUUUUACUUUCUCCUUUUCUCUCAAAAGAUCUAUCCUCUCCUUUUCCAACCUCUCAGCUUCUCUCUCUUCCCGCAUUGGCUCUUUGUUUUCACUAAUGCUAUUGCUGCACAACUGCAAAGUGUUUCGCCAGUCAUUGCUUUCUUUAUCCCUUUCUCCCCAGUCCCUUUGUUUUACCUCUUUCCUUUUCAUAUCUCUCUCUUUCAACUUAUCCUUCCCUUUAAAAUCAACCUUGUUCUCUGCAACAGCCUCACAUGCUUCAGCAUACUCCAUCUCCUCCACAUUUGUGGAUUCCUUUAUGCCCUCAACUGGGCCAUGCAAAUUGGAUCGUGAUGCUUUCCAUGGAUCCACAUUCCCUCCAGAGGCAUCAGAUACCUUUUGCCCCCGUGUUGUUAAUUUGCAUUUUUCCAGUUCGGAUGGUUGCUUGCCCCACCAUUUAUGUCAGCUCUGUGUUCUGGAUAUGUUUCCCUUUCAUGCUUGGUUGCUUUAUUGUCAUCUCCUCUGCUGUCAAACUUCACAUCCUUAUCAAGCCUACUGCCUAUAUGUAACUCCCUUUGCUCAACAUUACUUUCACGGUUCUCAAAUUUAGGGUCCUUAGUUCCAUCCUUGGUAUCUCAAAAUUCCAACCUGCUUUCAAAACCUGAAGGGUGAUCCGAAUAAAAGUCAUUUGAAGAUGAUGGCACUCAGUACAUUGGAAGCAAAGGUGAUCUUCUAUCUGCAUCAUGAGAUUCAGUCCCAGGAAGCUUAGGCAUCCAAGCACCUGCCCUAUGUCAUAAUGACUAUGGUAAUCACCCAAGGUUGAAGACUCCAGUCUACCCAUCACACCAGGGACUGUGCUGGAAUCCUCAUGCUGGAACUUUGGAGCAGAGCACUUCCAUGACUACCACUAAUACCACCACUUCCAUUUCCGCCCUCCUCAUGCGACCUUUUAUUAGGCAGAGCACUCAUGUUCUUGCUGUUCCAAAAAGCAAAGCUAUAAAAAUGUAAAACUUGAUAUCAUUUGCUGGUCAGCACCUGCAAAAGAAUAAAUUAAUUGGUUAAAGUUUUCCAAUUUACAAAGCACAAAAUAACUAGAUCUUCAGCCGGGGCCAAUUUGGCAAGACUUAUGAUAGCAUUCCAAAUCCAAAUGCUAUGCUAUUUGUUACCUUGCAGUAACCCGGAUGAGAAUAGCAUUUGCACAUGUUAAACACUUCUAAAAGUUUACAUUUUAAAAAAGAAGCCAGUCAAGCUUUCCUAGCUUCUCUCACAACGCAUCCUCUAAAAUACGCUACUUGCAUACCCUAGUUUUUCUUGUAAAAAAUUUUACCAAAUCGGACCUUGCAAAUAACACAAUCAUGCCGAUAGGCAAAAAGUAAGAAUAUCGUUUUGUAUAUCCUUAACAAGAAUCAGGUCAAGAAAACUGCACAGCACAAUCAACAACCGGACAACUUAAUUCUUGUGAACCCUCAAAACCAAAGUUCUAAAUACUCCCUAGGUUACAUAAAUAUUUUACAACAAUUCCAUCAACAAAUGGAAAAAAAUCACUAAAAAUAGUAAAUUGAAGAUUCAAAUGCGACAGAAAAUUCUCAACCGUACAGUCUUUUCCAGACUUCGGGAUUCAAUCUUUGUUAACCAAAUUCAAAACCUUCCCAGGUAUAAAUAGAAAAAACUCGAAUUCACAGUAAAAACUCAAAUUCAAGUACCUAUCUCUAAAAGUAACAUCGAAAUAAUCCAGAAAAGGGAAAUCAAAUUACCACAUUCAUUUAUCUUAAGAAAAAAGCCCCCCAAAAUUUUCAAAUAACAAAAGAGGAAAAAAAAUGAAAGAACAACUACAAAAAAAAAUAUAUAUAUAUAUAGGCAUUUGACACCAAAAAGCUUUCCAGCACAAAAGAAAAUUCACCUGAUACAAUCAAAACGUGCGGAACUGUGUGUUUCAUGGUGUGCGUGUGUGUGCUCCAUCCAGUGCAAAAUUCACCCAAUUAAUACAUCAGCAUAGAGUUCAGAGCAGAAAUUAACCAAAAUAAACGUGAAAUUAAUCGAAAUUUUGGGGAAUUUUUCUUGAAUUACCUCUCAGUUCUGCUGCUUUUCUUCCUCUCUCUCUCCGCCAGGGAGAAAUAAGGGAAGCGCUGAAGAGUGAGUUUUGAGACUUUGGGUUUCUGUUUCGUAUUUUUUGUUUUUGGCUCUUGCAAUCUGAGAUUUUUUUAACGUGCGGCAGAACCAGUCCAAUUGACAAUUCGCGAUUUAAUUAUAUGGCUUGAUUGGAAGGGAAAUUAUGUGGAAUUCUUUUCUCCUUGUUAAUUAGUUUAGCUUUUAAUUUAACCCGAAUAGUAAAGGACUUAUAGCGAUAAGGGGUGGCAGUAAUAUGAACUAUGUGACCCGAGUAACGAGACUAAGGCUUAUAGCUAGUCUGGGAGUUUAGGAAAGAAAAGAAAAGAACAGAAACCUUAAGUUAGAAAAGAAAAGAAAAGAAAAGAAAAGAUUAUAAUAUCUUUUUAUGUUAUUUGGGAGUUUUGAAGAAAAAGAAGAUGAAAUAACUUUCCUUUGUUUGGAAGGGAGAGGAUUGAAAAGACAAGAUUCAAUUUUAUGUAAAAACCCUUAAAUCUUAAGAUACCAUGAGAAUUUUAUUAGGUUAUAUAGUUAUAUUUUAAUCUUUUAAGGGUAAAAAUGCAUAUGGUAUAAUUCAUUUAACUCACUCCACUUUCUCACGUUUUCCACCGAUUUUGGGCAGAAAGUUUUUCUGACGUGGAAGGGAGCUGACAUCCUUCCGUUUCUUUUCAAUUCUUUCCUAUCCAAAGUCCCAAAUGUGAGAAAGAUUCAACUUUCCUUUGUAAUCUUUUCUUUUCUCACCAAAUCUGCUCUUCCAAACUAGCUGUUAGUUUGGGAGUAGACGAAGGAAGAGAAAAGAAAAGAAGAGAAAAGAUGCGUAUUUCGAUUCAGAGUUCAAUGACAGAAAAGAAAAGAAACAUCUUUCCCUUAUUUGAGAGUUGGAGAUAUGGAAAGAAAGGAUUUUAUGACAAAUACGUAUAGUUGCAAAGUCCAAAGAACAACUUUAGGAUAUAUUGAGAAUAAUAAAUUUUUGUAUCAGCUUUUAAAGGAUAAAAUUGUCAUAUUAAAAAUAAUCUUUUGGCGCCCAACAAGUUUCCGUCCUUUUCUUCCCAAUUUCGGGGGGAAAAAUUUUCACCAAUUAGAGGGAGUUCUAUUCGUUCAUUUCGUUUCUCUUUCAUCUUCGUUAAAACUCCCAAAUGAAUGAAAUGGUACAGUUUUCUUACAGGAUACUUUCUUUUUUGUCCUUUUCUCUCGAUCCAAAUGAAGCCUAAACCUCUGUAUCUAAGCUGAUUGACAAUUCUCGAUUUAAUUAUAUGGUUCAAUUGAAAAGGAAAAUACACGGAAUUUCUUUCUUCUUGUUAGUUAUUUGUUUUUAAUUUGAUCCAAAGAGAAAAGGAUGUAUAAUGACGAGGGGGUGGUAGUCAUAUGAAAUAUAGGACCAAGUAAUGAGACUAAAUCAGUAUAACUGAUUCGCUUGGCAAUUCUCAAUUUAAUUAUUAGGUUCAAUUGGAAGAGAAAAUAUGUGGUAUUUGCUUUUAGUUUGAUCCGAAUAGGAAAGGAUAUAUAAUAAUGAGAGGUGGUAGUUGUACGAAAUAUGAAAUCAAGUAAGUAAACCAAAUUAGUAGGACUGGUUUCGUUAACAAUUCUUAAUGUUCUUCUUAUGGUACAAUCUGAGGGAGACCUAUAUAGACUUUUACUUCUUGUUAAUUUGAUUAGAUUUUAAUUUGAAGAGAAAUUGAUUUAUAGUGAAGGAUUAAAUUGGUAGGAUUGGGCAUAUUGGUAAUUUUGGAUUUGUUCAUAUGGUUCAAUGUGAAAGAAAAAAUAUUUAGAAUUUUAUUCUUCUUGUUACUUAGUUUAGCAUCUUGUAGCCAAGUGGAGUGGUAGUAGUACGAAUGAUAAAACCAAGCAUUCAUAUCAAACUGGUACGAUCAAUUAUGUUGCCAAGUCUCGAGAGUUUUAUUUUUUGUUCUUGUUAUUUUUUAUAUUUUUAUUUCCCAAAAAUUCCAUUUUCAUUGAAAAUCUCUUUCACCUCUAAUAAUUGCUAAUCUUUCAAUAAUUUGUAAAAAAACUCUUUCUCUAAAACAAAGAAAUCAAGAAAAAGUUUGUGGUUCAAUUGGAAAGAAAAAUAUAAGAAAAUUUUCUUUUUUUCUAAUUUGUGUAGCUUUUAAUUUGUCCAAAACUAGGAUGUUUAUUGAAGUUUUUCUUUUAGCUUCAUUAUGAUUUUCUUUUUUGUUUAUAAGAUCUUAGCUAACUUUCUUUAAAACUCUCACACUUUGAAAAGAUUUUCAUUUACGUAUUUCAAAAUUAAAAUUAACAUAUAUUGUUAACUUUCUACAAUAAACUAAAAUAAAAGUUUUGAUAUUUUAUAUCUUCAUUUAAUGGGAUGGAUUUUUGCUUUUUAAAAACUUUGCAAGGACAAUUUUGCCAUCCUCCAAAUGCUUUUGAGAAUAUAUUGUUAUGUAGGACAAGCCUGUAUUAGAUGAUAUAGAACUUGAAAAAAAUGUUGCAGUAUUUUUUUCUUCUCUCAAGAAUUGUCCAUCCAAUUGAACUAUCAUUUUUAUGUCCUAAAAAUGCUUUUAAACAUGUCAAAAGCAAGAUUGGUCAAGAGAAAUUGGUGAUAUAACACAUACAUAAAAACAAAAAUACAAGAUAGAUAAACUCAACAAAUACAGAAAAUCAAGUAAAAUAUCUAGAUUAAUAAACUCAUUCGUAGUAUCGAUAUUGAAUUGAAUCUUCCGCUAUAGCGACUCCAAAAACUUGAAGAGAUUUUUUCUUCUCUUCAAAUUUUAAAAAUCUAAAUACCUCAUUUUCUACAAGUAUACAGAUCAUUUAUCAAGUAUAGACAAUAUUAGAUGUCGAUCCCAUAGAAAAGAUCGUCAAUUACCGUGGUUUUUGAAUUCCUUUAUUAGUUAGAUUAUCACAAAUACAAGAAAUUAAUUUUACCUACAAACAUAAAAUAAAAGUUGUAAAAAUAACAAUGGGAAGUUCCUAGGGCCAUGGAUUUCCUAACUAUUCUUACAAGUGAAAUUACUUGUUAAAUGAAUGUUGUUACCUGGGUUAGUUAUGGCAUAAUUUUCUAAAACAUGUCAAAACCCAUUUUUACCAGUGAAUCAACCAUAUUUAUAACUAUUCCAUAUCUACUUUCGUGGCUAUGAAGCUAACUAUAGUAUCAUUUACUUCUAUGAAAUUAUAUGGAGCAAGUCAUCAAAAUCACAAAAGUGUAUCUCUACUUUUGUGAGUAUCCUCUUUAUAUUUAACACUUCCUUAAACUAGUAUCAAAUCCCAAUUUUUAUUGAUAACUUAACACCUUAAAAUUAUCAUAAUUAAUAGCUAGUUAAUCAUGAUUAUAAAAGCAAAAGUGCUAGAUAACUAGUUCAAAAUAAUAGCAUCAAAUAAUCAAGUAAACAUCACCAAUAAGAUAUAAAAAGUUCAUUCAUAACUCUAGACAUAAGCUUUAAAAGCACAUAAUGGAAAUAAAGUACAAACUUGAAUAAUAAUCAAACUUAGAAUCAAUUACAAAAGGUAAAGAGUUGGAAAGGAAAAGUAACCCUUAUCACAUGAGCAUUCCUCCUCGCCUUCAUCACUCCCCAACUUCAUCCUUGUUUAGUUUCAUACAAGAAUGGAUGAACUACUAAAUCCAAACUAACUUACAUUAGCCUAAACUAAGAAAAUAUGAGAACUACAUUUUUGUGAUGUAGUCUUGACUCUCUAAAAGUUCCUUAAUGAGAAGUCUUUAAGCCUUUUUACUUGUGUUUUUCUUUUAGUGUGAACAUUUGAUAAAAGUUGGCUUCAGAAGUCAAGAAUUUCCAAUAGAAUCAAGAAGAUUUGAAGUGACAAAAGGUGUUUCUUGCUGAUGCUUGUACUCUCCUUAAUGGUAAAGCUUCUAUUUAUAAAGAAGUCUUUAAGCCCUUUUACUUGUGUUUUUCUUUUAGUGUGAAUAUUUGACAAAAGUUGGCUUCAAAAGUCAAUAAUUUCCAAUAGAAUCAAAAAGAUUUGAAGUGACAAAAGGUGUUUUUUGUUGAUGCUUGUACUCUCCUUUUAGCCACUACAAUGUCUUGUCAAUACUUAAAGCACAUGGAAAGAGUAUCUCACAAGAAACCAAGUUGCACAAGUUGUGCAAGUGGCUCAGAUAAUACAGUUGGAUAUUUAGCCUUAGAACCGACUCAUGCUGCUAAGGUUACAGGGCUAGUUGUUUUGUCGUGUUUCACGACAACUUUAGCCAACAAUCUGCCAUGUAACCCGUCCAGUAGCCAGUCUUGCCUCCUGGGUUGUUGGGCCAGUUACCUUCUCCUACAUCUCUCUUUGACAAUUUUCUCAUUUCUUUGCUUGACUUGGCAACCGCUAUUUGUUCAAAUAUUUUGCCCCUUUCCCCACAAAACAACUAAAUUAAACACAUAAAAAGAGACAAAAGUUAUAUCAUUAAUCAACAAUACUCACGCAUCAACUUUUAAUCGCCACAAACGCUUCCCUUCUUGAUUUCAAGCAAAAAGAGUUUAAAAGUCCUCAAAUAUAAAUUAAGCACGUUUCAGUAACUACAUUUUGACCUCAAUGGUUCUUCACUAAAUCCUUCUAUGAACACUUGAUCUUCACUAUACGGCACUAAAACACUCAACACAUCUAUGCCGGUGGUAAGAAAUCAAAACUUAGGGUUUGAGGUUUGGGGGAAACCAAAGUUGCGGUUGAAGUUAGGCUUAACUUGAGGUAAUAAUGCCUUCUAUGUCUAAUUUUUCAGUUCCAUGUACACAUUCUUUGUGGUGGCUACUUGCAUCCAUGUCUUUAAUAAUAUAAUUAUUAAGGUUUUGGUGUUUUUGGUUCAUAAUUUGUAUUGUACUUGAGGCCAAAACUUGAGUUUCGUAGUAGCUAGCUACUGCUAUAGGGGCUUGGCCGUGGAAAUGUGUUUUUGUUGUUGAAUUGCAUAUUGUUUGCCAAUGAUAUUUGCCCUUGCUGUUCCUUUGACAAAUGCUAAAGUUGAAAUACCAUAGUUCAAUUGUUUAAGUCUGAAAUCAAUGCUAAUACUACGGUAUGCAAGUUGUUUUUUGAAUUAGAAAUAGUAUUUUUCCGUGAUAGUAGGUUCUCUAUUCUUUGAGUAGUUUUGCUAAUCCUAUUUUUAUUGUUCUUUAGUUUAGGACUUUAUUGUUGAUAAGUGCACAUUUUACGUGUUUUAAGUGUGUUUUAUUAAUUAGUUUUGGUGUAUUUUAACUACUUUUAUAACUAAUUAACUAAGAUUCUAAUGAAAAUAUGCAUUUUAUGGUUUAAGUAGUGUAGACACCAAAAAAUUUAGUUUCAUUUAUUUUAUUUUAUGUUUUUUUUCUUUUUUUUUCUUUUGUUUCUUUUUCCUACCUUUUAAAGAAAAUCAUCCCAAAUUCAUUUUUAGAAAAGGCAUUAGAAAGAAAGAAAAAGAAAAGGAAAAUCAAUUGAAAUCAGUUUUUGUUAAAAAAAAAAUUCACCCAAGGGCGCGUGCAACGCACGUACGCAUAAGAAGCAGGAAGCCAGUUCUAGUUGGCAAUUUUUUUGAUCCAUUUUUAGCUCAUUUUCCCUCUCAUUUUUGUUACCUUACACGUCUAAACAAGUACUAAGUAUCUAAUCUUGGAUUUUGACACUUGGAAGAUUGAUCAAAUGGCUCAUAUAUUGCUAAGAAAAUGUAACAAAUAUACACCUUAGAUGCUAGGGUUUGGAGGAGGUUUUGCGUUCCAUAUAAAGGGAUAAAAUUGCACCCAUUAGGUAGAGGAUAGAGAGGAGGCAGUGAAAAAUGAAAAAAAAAAUAGCAAAAAAAGAGAAAACAGAGAGAAAAGGAAGAAGAAAAAAGUGCCGAAAAAAUUUCUAGAAAAUAAAGCCAAGGCUGAUUUUUAGCCCUACCUUUUGCUCAAAAUCCGAUCUAGAUCUUAGUUUUUUAGGUUAUUUUUUUGUUGCUGCACCUUAUACGUUCACCAAGCAACAACUUUCAUUCAGAAAAAAUUAUCGAAAAAAAGCUCCUAGAUCCCUCUAAUUUCGGGUCAACGUAGCUAGCUCGCCAGUUCUCGAGGAUUCCUGCGGCAAGUUCGAAGGGACAAAUUCAGCUUCCGAGCGUGUUUGUUUCAUAUUUUCUCACAUUUGUUGGGUGUUAAAGUAUUAAAGGUAAUUCUUUUCCAUCUUAUUCUGGCCACAUAUCAUCGGAUUUGUAUCAAGAAUGCUCAAAUUUUGCUUGCUGCGUUUUUGCUCUUUCCUAUAUUUUUGCUGUUUUCUUCCUCUUAUGGCAACCUAUUAGUUGGAGAUUUAUCACACAUUUUGCUACUUGAUCUUGUCCUUGGGGAAGGAUAUUCGAUGAUUAAUGUUUGGGUCGAAAGAUUUCGUCUAAAUAGCAUAAACGGAUUCGAAUGUUUGUUGGUUUGAAUAAGCUUCUAGUUGCAGAAAAGCUGAAGCUUCGAAGCUUUGCAUGAUAUUCCAAAAUAAUUAUAGUUUGGCCCUUCAAUUUUUACAUAAUUUCACUAUAGCUCCGAAACUUUUGUACAUAAAUCAUUUUCCUCCUUUUUAAACUUUAAUCUUCUCUUUCAUGUUUUAAGCAUGUUUUUCAGUGAAUUAUUUCCUGAUUUUAGGACAUAAUUAAGGUUUUAUAAUUUUUAGUUGAUUUAUUAUCUUGUUGGAUUUUAGUAAAAUAGGGCUUGUUUGGAAGUGAAGUUUUUGGCAUAGUUUUUUAGCUACUAGUUUUUUAACAACUUUUGCUACAGGAACCACAAAAAACUUAUCAAAGUUUUUUACCUACACACUUCAAAAUAAUACACAAAAAACUUUCCCUUCAACUUUUUUUCUUCUUUUUCCUCCCUCACCCAACCGGCCACCACAUCCACCACCGCUUCCGGAGCCGGUAACUAUUCCGGUCAACUUUUGCCGGCCUUUCUCUUUUUUUUUCUCUCUCCCUCCCCUCCCAUUUUGACCGAUAUGUUGGUUUUCAAAAUCUCUUUUUUCUUUUUUUUUCUUUCUCCCUCCCCCCUCCCCUCUUUCCCUCUGCCUUUCCCCGCCACAUUCCCCCUUUGUCCGCCGCCAUCUCCUCCUCUCAUCACCAGCGCACGCCGCCACCUCGCCGCACGUCUCUCUCCUCUCGCGCGGUUCUCGGUCUCCGCGGCCGGACACCGCUGCCCACGGCCGCGCGACUCCAGCGACACCACAGCCCUUCUCUCUCCCUCGCAACGCCGACGAAGCCACCACCACCUCGCGCGACUCCAGCCCGACCGCCGCCUCUCGCUCGCGCCACGCCCCCUGGCUCCACCGUGCGCCGCCGUUCCUCCUUGGCCGCGACCCAAAGCCCUCGCUUGUUUUCUCUCCUCUUCGCAACUCCCACCUCGCCGCCGUCCCUCUCAGCUCCCUCCACCACAGCACAGGGGUGGGGGAGGGGGGUUGCGGGCAGAGAGGUGGCGGGCAGAGGGAGAGGGAGGGGGAACUUUUGCAGGGGGUGGCGGGGCUGAAGGAGAAGGCGGGGGGAGGGGGUGGCGGGGCAGAGGGGGUGGCGGGGAAAGCGAGGAGAGGGGUGGCGGAGGUAACGGGGAAGGGGAAGGGGAAGGGGGAAGGAAGAAGAAGAAGAAGAAAGAAAAGAAAAAGGAAAGAAAGAAAAAGAAAGAGAAAGAGAAAGAGAAAGAGAAAAGGAAAGAAAAAAAGAAAUGGAAAAAAAAUUUUACUUUACAAAAACUUCUACAAAAUUUUUUCAAAAACUUCUACAGUACACUACAGUAAAGUUUUAGACAAACUCCCAAAAAACUCAGGUUCCAAACAGGCCCAUAGUUAGAAUUUGGGUUAGAAUUUUUGUAGUUGGGUUUAGGAAGUGGAUGGUGGUUAUUUUUCUGGGUUUGUGACAUGGACUUGGAAGCCGAAGCCCAUGUAUUUUCUGUUGGGCUUAAAUGGAAAAAGAAUGGCUUAGACCGUUUUGUUUCUUAAGGCUUUCGAUUGUGCUAAGGGAUUUUCGCCGAAAUAAGAAAUAAAAACGGCCCAGUGGCCCGUUUAUCACAAGAUGUGCUAGCAUAAAUUGCAGGUGAUUCCCUGUACUUUCAUAUAAUUAUAUUAUGGUUAUAUAAACUUUAUCUUUCUUUCAAUUAGGUCCCUAAUUUAAUUUCAUAUUAGUCCCUAAACUUUAUUUUUCUUUAAUUUUAAUCCCUAUAUUUUGUAAUAAUUAUAUUGUAAUCCCAAAAACUUUUAUAAUUUUGCAAUUAGAUCUCUAACAGCUUUAAUUUCUCAAAUAUAAGUUAAUUAUCUUCUUUAAUUGUUAAUUUUAUUUUAUUUAAAUAUUUUAAUUGAUAGAUUUCAUGAUUAGUUUCAUUUCUUUAUAACGAUAAAGUGAAUUUGCAUUAUGUUUAUAUAUUAUUCUUUUUAUUUGUUAAUUAAAUUAGUACCUCGACCUUUUCAUUGAUUUUGGAGUAUAAAUAGGACAAAUCCAACCCCAAUUAAUUACUAUUUCAAGGAAGGUAUCUUCUUUUAUUAUUUUAAACUCUCUUAUGUGUUCCUAUGUGUUUUUUUACGCGUAAUUGCAUGUUUUUGAGUGUUUUUUUUUUAUUUAUUUACUCAUUUUAUUUGUUUCAACUUUCAUAUAUUUAAUUUAAUUUUGAUGAUUAUUUGAGAGGCAUUUAAAUGCCAAAUUGUAAUAGAUAGGUGCUCAAGACAUGUAUUUAAUUAGGCUAUGUAAUAUAUAGGUUUGACUUUUGUCAAAAAUGUAAUUAAUUAGAUAAAUGUAAUAGUUAGGUUAUUAUUUUUUAAAUUUCCCCCUUAGAUUGUAGUUAGGGUCCCAAAUGUAAUAAUUAGGUUUUUCAUGUGCAUUUAUUUACUUGUGUGCUUGCAUGUUUACUUACUUUCUUUAGAAUUUUUGCAUCUAGAUAUUAUACUUAUUUGUUAUGUGUUCUAUGUGUUUAUAUGUUUACUUGCUUUAAUUAUACUUUAUAUGAUUUAUUAAGUCAUAAUAAAUGCAUGUGUCACCACACUAGUCCAACGCUAGUGAGAACUUAUAAACAUGAGCUAGUCCAACACUAAACUCUUAGGCUGUUUUCGCGCUAGAAUCACAUGUUUCCGUGACGUUCAUUACAUUUCAUGCAUAUUUUUACUUUUGGGAUCCUUUUUCUCAUUUUGCAUGAUUUUUUCCUAUAAAUUAUCUCCCUUAUCCCUAUGUGUGUGAAACAUGACAUUUAGACUUGCAUUUCAUUUAGAAAAUUAGAAAUAAUUUAGUUCAUUUGCUUGACUAGGUUAGGUAAGUCAACCUUCAAAUAUGGGAAAUGAACGAGUAUAGUUUCUUAGCCAUAGCACGCUCGUAUCCCCUCUCUACAAAAAGGACAAUUGAGCUACGAAUCUUAGUUUUCCGUAUCCGUUAUGUUGCAUUCCUCUCUUUUAGGUCACUUAUAUUUUUUUUUCGAGUCUCAUUUUUUACAUAUUCGUGACAUUUUCUAAGAAUCAUUUUGAGUAUCACAAUUAAUGUGAUUUGCGCGAAUUAAACUUUAAAGAUGCAUUUUGAUGCUCUCAACAUCCAUUAGGUCUAGAUUUACAUUCAUAUAGAAAUAUUCAAAUGUGAUAAGUCUAUAGGUUAGACUAGAAAAAUUUUCGACUAAAUCCCGCAACUAACUUUGACUAGGUUGAAAGGGUGUCUUAGAUCAAAUCAUUGUCUUUCCUUUCUUCAACCAUAACUUCCGAACCCUUUUAUUUUAUUUUCAAAGAUCUAGAGUCGUCUAAAAAGAGUUUUAUUUAAUUUUUUAUUAAAAAUAUAUUUUUAGGUAAUUUGGUAUGUCUAAACUCGAUACCAAGUGACGACUCCUAUUUUUCUUUAAAACUCUUUUUAGACUAUUAUUUUGGGCUCAAAUCGUCGCAUAUUUUAAGUCCCAUUUAGGUCUUUUUAUUUAUUUUAUAAAAUAAAAAAACUCACGUUUUUCACUUAUCUUUAAUAAAAAUUCAUUUUUUAAACAACGUAAAUCAAAUUUAAUGAAAACUCAUUUUUUUAAUCAUUUAAUUAUUUUUUCCAAAAAAUGGGGUGUGACAAGUGGUAAAAAUUGCAUUUUCAUAAAUUUUAAUGGUGAAAAUUUCAUGUUUUUAUAGGUUUAAAGAUUCAAUCAUCAAAGGGAGUGAAUUGAGAAGAUAAUUGGAUGAUUGAUAAUGUUUGAAGUGAUAGAAAGAGAAUAUGAAGUGCAAGAGAUGAAAUGCAAUUAAAGGAAGUUUUCAGUUUUGAUAUCUUGUGGUAUUUCGACAAUAUCUUGAACUAAAAGUAUUAGAUUGAGGUGAUUGUUAUACCAUUUUGAAGAUAAGAGAUAGAUCUAGAUUUAGCAUAAAGACAUUGAAGUCCAGUUUAAUUAUUUUCCUAGUUAAAAAGUCAAAAUACAGAAGUGCAUUUUUAUGGUUGAAAGCUGAAACAGAGUUUUGACUAGUCGAGGUAUUUUGAUUAUUUCUCGAUCCACAGAAAUUCAAAUUAGAUGAUUCUUGAUGCAUUGGAAAGCUAAGUCAAAGAGUACAAUUUUCAUGUUUUACGCAAGAACUAAUUCAGCCUUCAUUAUCAAGAAAAGAUUAGUGGAAGUUGGGAAAAACAAAGCAAGUAAAUCUGAGUUCGAUUUUGUACUAAAUCUAACCUUGGAUAAAUUUCUAUAAUCAAAGACUACGUCCUAGAGGAGGAUCCAACCUUAGAUCCCCAUGUUAUAGGCCUUGGAUCCUAAUGUGCAGCGAAGAUAAAAAUGAAGAAAAAUGAGAUCCGGGGGGUAUUUUGAACGAUCCGACCUCGGAUUUUGCCCUCAGAUCCCCAAUUGCGGCUCUGCAACUUACUCUGCAAUUUGUGCUCUAUUCACACAAGCUUUCUGACUGGAACUGAGCAAGCAAGUGUGGAGAAUUCAAGAAGCAUCUUUUGGUGAUUCCAAGGAGCAAUUUACAUCAACUUUAACAACUCACCUUAAGCUUGAAUUCCUCUAUAAAUAGAGGCAUUGGAGAACAUUUUCACAAUUUUGGAAGGUUAGAGAAACUCAUAAAAAAUGUAAUUUUUACUAGAAUUCCCUUAGUUCAUUGGUUAGGGUAGUAUAGUAUAGUUAGUGUAGUUUAUCCUUCUUGUAUUUGUAGUUAGAUUUAGAUGAAAAUUUGAAAAGCAAAGAUGAAGAGUUUGAAGUUCAUGUGACAAGGGUGACUUCUCUCCUAUCACUUUUUCUUUUGUAUUUGAUUUUAUGUUUAACUAUAAUAUAAGUUUUUCAUGUUUAGUUAAAUUUUAUGCCUAGAGUAUGGAUGAAAUUUCUGUAUCUUGAUAGUGAUGUUUAUUUGGUUAUUAGAUGAUGCUAAUUUGAGCAAGUUAUUUAUCACUUUUGCUUUCUAAUCAUGAUUAACCGGUCAUUAAUUGUGAUAAUUUUAAGGUGUCAAGUUUGCAAUGAAAAUUAAAAUUUAGCACGAGUUCAAGGAAGUGAUAAAUUUAGGGAGUACACUUACGAAAGUAGAGAUGCACAUUUGUGGCUUUAGUGACUUGUUUCAUGUAUUUCAUAGAAGAAAUGAACUUGUAGUUAGUUUCAUAAUCACGAAAGUAGGUAUGAAUUAACUUUAGGUAUAGUUGGUACACUGAUGAAAAAGGGUAUCACGUAUAUUAGGAAAUUACAUCAUAACUAACCAAGAUAAUAGCAUUCGACUAACCGGUAAUUUCAUUUACAAGAGUAGCUAGGAAUUCCAUACCUUUAGAAGCUUUGUAUUGUUAUUUUUAUUACUUCUAUUUCAUGUUUGUAGUAUAGAUUUAAUCUUUUGCAUUUGUGAUAGUCUAAAUAAUAAAGAAAUUCGAAAAUCAUUGGUAGUUGACAAUAUUCCUUAUGGGAUCGACACUUAAUACCCCUAUGCUUAAUAAACGAUUCGUAUACUUGUGACAAAUCGCGUGAGUUAUUUAGGAUUUAUAAAUGUAAAACUUGACUGUGGAUGAACUAAUUGUUAUAUUUAUACGCCGCACUCGUCAGUUGUCUAAAGUUUGAACAAUAAUUUGAUCUAAAGUUCCUUUUGUAUUAAGUUUCUAGCAAGGUGAUAUAUAUAAAAUAAUGGCUUGUGAAGAAACAUGUUAGGCUUGCAAGGUCACUAAUUGAGAUUUCUCCACUUCUUUACUUUCCUUUAUAUUUUGCAUAUACAUUUAGGCAAUGGACAAGACUUGGAUGAAAAUAACAAAUACAAAGGAUGAAACUUAGUUAGACAGGGUAAAAAACUUUGUGAAAUUUGCAUAUUCUAAUAAUGAGAAACAUAUCAAAAUCCCAUGCCUGUGUAGAGAAUGCAAUAACUUCCGGAAUCAGCCAAAAUGUGGUGUGAAUAAUCACUUAAAUACUAUUGGUAUUCAUAAGAGUUUUAUUAGAUGGAUAUAUUAGGGUGAGGGAUUCGAAAUGAAACUAUUAAUGAAAAUGCAAGUAAGGUAGACCUAGAAGAAGAUAGUGAUAAGGAUGAAAAUGAUUUGGAAGAUAUGUUAAAUGACAUUUGUACUGCUAAUUAGGGGGAGAAUUGGAGGGACAAAUAAGAAACAACAAUGAAUACCCCAGAUGGGAAAGUUACUGAAGCAAAUGUAUUUAUUAGAUUGUUCAAAGAUGCAAAACAAAAUUUGUAUCCUGGUAAUAAAAUUUUCUCCAAAUUAUCAUUUGUUGUGACCCUACUACAUUUAAAACCAAUGAGUAGUUCCUAGAGUUUGACUAUUAACUCCUUUGAUUCAUUACCUAGAGUUUUUAAGAAUGUAUUACCCCUCAAAACUGUAGUUCCUAAGUCAUUUUUUGAGGUUAAGAAAAUAAUUAAAGACUUGGGAUUUAAAUUUGAAAAAAAUCAUGCUUGUGUGAAUGAUUAUAUCCUCUUUCGCAAGGAGUGUGAGAGGUUAGAUACUUGUCCAAUGAAAAAUGUAAGGAACCUCGCUAUAGAUCAAAGUGCCCUAAAGUUCCACGCAAGGUGCUGUGCUAUUUUCCUUUGAAACAGAGGUUGUGAAGAUUAUAUGUGCACAAGGAAAUAGCCUUUGAUAUGAGGUGGCAUAAAGAAAAAUGCAUUAAUGAUAAUGCAAUGCGGCAUCCAGAAAAUAGUAAAGCAUGGAAACACUUUGUUAAGGAGCAUGAAGAUCAUUGUCUUGUGCAUUUAGGACUAGCAAUUAAUUAUUUCAAUCUGUAAUGACCCCACCUCUCCCUAAGGCGAACCAAAGGGUUCAGCGGACCGCCUGCCCAACUCUCGUCAGGACUCAAGCACUAGCUAAAUAACAAAUCCUUUCAAAAUAAAAGUCACAUUUACACGGCCAAUACAAAAGAUCCCGAAUUAAAUACAGCAGAUUGUGAUCGAUAUAAUCUUGAAAUAUGCUACUAGUUCUUUUUUUUUUGACUUGGAAUAGGUUCCAAAAGUCCAUUCAUGGGAACAACUUUCUUUUCUUUUUUACGUAUAAUUUUUUUUUCUCGAAAGAUUCUAAUUCCUGUGUUGUCCUGAAUUGUCAUUGCCCAUUUGAAAUCCCUCCACAAAUGAAAAAACCCUUCAAGUUCGACACAUGAAACCAACCCACACUCUCUCUCUUUUUUUUUCUGCCGACGAAGCCCACGGAUGAAACCCUUUCUCGCCUGAAAAAGACGAUCGCUCCCUCACCCCAUUUUCUUCCUUCUCCGUCUCUUUCGACGAAAACCUGAUGGGAGACCGGAAUACUAUUUGGAUAAACAUUACCAUUCUUGAGACAAAUGGUCGGUUCAUUCAUGACUUGAUGAAUUCCAACACUCCCCACUCGAACUUUAGUCUGGCCAUGUCUUUUUGGCGGAAUGUAUUUUCGGGGCAGAAGAGAUGGGAGGCACGCCGUGGAUGUUUAUCUUCAUGUUGAGAUUCAAGCAUGGCAAGUGGAAAUGAUGUACCUUACCGGCGACGGAGAAAUUGGUGUUCUCGAAUUGGAAACGCGUUGGGAAGACAUCAAGUGUAGAGUAAUAUUGAUGGUGGCAUUUCCUCUGAGCUAUUUGAUACGAAUACAUAGGACGCUACCUCCUCCGGGAUUAUUUAGAUAUAUAGUGAUUCGAACGGAAUUGGCACGGAACGGCAGUCCCCUUGGACAGCUGACCAGAAUUCACGUGGGUCACAUGGCCAGAAAUGGCAUCCCCAAUGUUAAUGUCUUGAUAAAUAAUCUGCUGCAGUUAGCUAACAUUGGUGGGCAUCACUUUCUCAUGAUGUACUGUUUGAUUGGCGAGGAGCACUAUCGAAUCUUGAGUCAAGGGCCGAAUGUUCAGAGUUUUCACAAUUUUCAAGAUUAGAAUUUUCAAGAUUUUAUUUCCAUUGUGUCCGUAAUUUUUCACUACUAGUUCAACUUACAAAAGUUGAGUUCUCAACUUACAAAAGCAAAACUAAAAGUUGGUACAACUAAACUACAACAAAAAAUUCCGACAAGAUCCGGCCCUUCCUAUUUAGUUGCCCAGGUGCUCGCUCCUGUAAAGAAAACAAAUCUAAAUGGUGAACUUUCGUCCCAUGAGGUUCCAAGAAAGUCAUGCAAUAAUAAUAUCAUAUUCACGCCACAUAGUCAUAGUUCACAACCAUAAUGCAAGUUCACGUUGGAUACUCGACAAUUAAGAAUUUGCAUUGUCAUAUAAAAGGAUACAUGGCUCUCAAGAGCAUAUUCAACCAGUUUGAUCAGAAUUUCGUUGACACUCUAUCAAUAUUUUUUUCAAAAUGCUAACAAGUAUUUCACCACUUCAAGUCAUUCUCCAACCACCGUUCAACCCCCUACCGGACUGGCACGUCAAAAUUUAAAAAGACAUUUGUACUGCUAAUUAGGGGAAGAAUUGGAUGGACAAAUAAGAAACAACAAUGAAUACCCCAGAUGGAAAAGUUACUGAACAAAUGUAUUUAUUAGGUUGUUCAACGAUGCAAAAUAAAAUUUGUAUCAUGGUAAUAAAUUUUUCUCCAAAUUGUCAUUUGUUGUGACACUACUACAUUUAAAAACAAUGAGUAGUUCCUAGAGUUUGACUAUUAAUUCCUUCGAUUCAUAUCUAGAGUUUUUAAGAAUGUAUUACCCCUCAAAACUGUAGUUCCUAAGUCAUUUUUUGAGACUAAGAAAAUAAUUAGAGACUUGGGAUUUAAAUUUGAAAAAAAUCAUACUUGUGUGAAUGAUUAUAUCCUCUUUUGCAAGGAGUAUGAGAGGUUAGACACUUGUCCAAUGAAAAAUGUAAGGAACCUCGCUAUAGAUCAAAGUGCUGUAAAAUUCCACGCAAGGUGCUGUGCUAUUUUCCUUUGAAAAAGAGGCUGUGAAGAUUAUAUAUGUACAAGGAAAUAGCCUUUGAUAUGAGGUAGUAUAAAGAAAAAUGCAUUAAUGAUAAUGCAAUGCGGCAUCCAUAAGAUAGUAAAGCAUGUAAACACUUUGUUAGAGAGCAUGAAAAUUCUUGUCUUGUGUAUUUAGGACUAGCAAUUGAUUGUUUCAAUCUGUGAUGACCCCACUUCUCUCUAAGUCGAACCAAAAGGUUCAGCGGGUAGCCUGCCCAACUCUCGUCAGGAUUCAAGCACUAUCUAAAUAACAAAUCUUUCAAAAAAAAAGUCACAUUUACACGGCCAAUACAAAAGAUCCCGAGUUAAAUACAGCAGAUUGUGAUCGAUAUAAUCUUGAAAUAUGCUACUAGUUCUUUUUUUUUGACUUGGAAUAGGUUCCAAAAGUCCAUUCAUGGGAACAACUUUCUUUUCUUUUUUACGUAUAAUUUUUUUUUCUCGAAAGAUUCUAAUUCCUGUGUUGUCCUGAAUUGUCAUUGCCCAUUUGAAAUCCCUCCACAAAUGAAAAAACCCUUCAAGUUCGACACAUGAAACCAACCCACACUCCCUCUCUUCUUUUUUCUGCCGACGAAGCCCACGGAUGAAACCCUUUCUCGCCUGAAAAAGACGAUUGCUCCCUCACCCCAUUUUCUUCCUUCUCCGUCUCUUUCGACGAAAACCUGAUGGGAGACCGGAAUACUAUUUGGAUAAACAUUACCAUUCUUGAGACAAAUGGUCGGUUCAUUCAUGACUUGAUGAAUUCCAACACUCCCCACUCGAACUUUAGUCUGGCCAUGUCUUUUUGGCGGAAUGUAUUUUCGGGGCAGAAGAGAUGGGAGGCACGCCGUGGAUGUUUAUCUUCAUGUUGAGAUUCAAGCAUACUUUCCACAACACUCCCCACAACGAUGUUUAUCAUACUUUCCUUUUUGGACUGUCCCAAAAUGUUUGUCAUGUUUAACAUUUUAAACUAUUUUAAGCUAUGAAAUCUCAUUUUUGCCCUUCACUAAUGAUGUGACAAUGCAUGUGCUAGUUGGCCAACAAAUUGAUGUAUGGUCCCAAAGGACAUCCAAAUGUCCCAACUUGUACCAUGUUUGACUUCCAGCUCCAGCAAAAUUCUUGGUUCCGAUUCUAGCCAAAUUCAUCACCAAGAAUGUGUAUAUGGCUCUUUCAAACUUCAAUUGAAGACUAAUUCUGUUAUCAAGAGGAUAAUUUCAAUUUUUUGCAGUAAAUAGAAUAUCGAGAUGGCUUAAUUAGUGAUUUUCUUUUAAAAUCUUUCAAUUUAUAAAUUAUUUUCAUAUACACUAAUUUGUUAAGAAUAAUCAACUUUCACAAAAUAAAUUCAUUUUGAAAGCAAGAAAAUAGUGUAAAAAUAGGUGAAUAAUUUGUGAUUGAUCCAAAAACUAAACAAGCAAAAUAAUAAGGCAUGUUAUUCUACUAGGAGAAAAAACGAUGGAGAAGAAAUCUGCUAGAAGAAGAUUUUGAUAAGGAAACCGGUUUUUUGUGGCUGAAACAAAGUAUUGCUUUUUGGUGGGUCCCAUUUUGACCCAUUUGUUUCUUGGAUGAGGAAGAUUUUGGUAAGGAAAUGAAUUUUUUGUAGUCGGAACAAUGGAGUGCUUUUUUAUGGGUCCCACUUUGACCCAUUUGUUUCUUGGACGAUUCAGUGAAAUGUAAAGGGCAAACUUGGAACAAAAGAACUUACAGAUAAGUGGAUGUUGCUGUGCAUAAAAAGCGUUGGCCCCAAAGUACGACAGACUUUACGGGACGGAGGAAGUACUAUUCAAGGGUCAAAAUAGAAAUCUAAAUAAUUAUUUUGGACCCUAUUACAUGCCAUACACAUCUAUCUAUCACGGAGAGAAAUAUAUUUAAUGCCAUGAUGAUUAUAGUUGAAGUAUACAAUUGAAUGAUGAAUUAUACAAACAUCAAUUUCUAUUCAAAUUAUUGAUCAAAGUGGAGGACAAGUGUUAUAAGUUUUUACAUAUUUUUUUUAGUAUAACACACUUUGUUUAGUACAUUUUAUUUUAUAUGGCUAUUUAUGUAAAAGUUUUUGGUCCCUCUUGUUCUUUUUUUCUUUUCUAUAGGAUACAUUUAUUUGGCAUAUGAUUUAAGUGUUUUCCUAAAUUAAAUUCCAUUAACAAGUUAAUGAAAAUUGGAUUGCUCAAUACUGGUACCUUUCUCCAUUUUAAAUUGAACUUUCCUUCACACAAUCUAUUAGAUACUUCUUUUCCUUGUUAUUUCAUUUUCUCAAAAAAAGUAUUCUCUUUAUUAGCUUUGAUUUCUUCAUCACUUAAAUUAACACCAUUUUAUUGAGUAUUUCAAGGAUAAAUGUAAAUGCACUAUAAAACAUAUAUACUUUUUUAUAUCAAAACAUUGUUCUGGCGUAAAAUUACAUAUUACAAUAUUUUGGUCCUUCUAUUUCUAAUGGUGGACACUCUUAGGGUCCGUUUGAUUCUUGGGAUGACACGAGAUUGGAUUAAUCAUCCCAUAUUUGGUUAUAUUUUAUACGUGGAAUGACAUAUUGUGAUGCCCCCACCUCUCCCUAGGGCGUACCCUAGAGCAUCAGCAGGGCGCCCGCCUAACUCUCGUCAGGACUCACGUACUCAUUCAAGUUUAAAAGAAAUCCACAAGUCAACCAUAGAUUUAGAAUUAAAGGAAUACUUCAAAUAUACAAACCAAAUUCUUCUAAGGCAACUGUGUACAAUUACAAUCCAAAACCCAAAUAUAAAAAAAAAAAAUACACUUCUAAUGUCUCCAAUAUCAUACAAAAAAAUUUACUAGUUUCAACCAAAACCGCUAGUCUAGAACUUCCCAACUUUCACUUCCAAAACCUAUUAAGAAAAACAAAUUGGAGUGAGCUAAUGCUCAAUGAAGCCAAGAAAUCAAGCAAGCAAGUAAACAAGUAACUUGACCUAAUUCAAAUAGAACACUUAGGAGAGACUUAACACCAACUUCAUAUAAACGAGUAAGUAGGAAAUAAAACACAAGUGAAAAGGCUACAGGAGGUCUAAGGAGCUAUUUCCAUGUCUCGACCGGUUCAUGCCAUCUUUGAUUGACCCUCUGUCAACUCAACCAGCAACAUGUCUGUAGAGCUCCACUUAUUUCUUCCAUCUACCAUAUCGCCUUCUCGGAUCUGGAACCAAACAAGCACGAGAUGACAAUACUAUUCGAAUAUGUCAAGUAAGAUCUCAAAAGAUCAAACUAUAACAUUUCCUAUGGUUCACCAAACUUCUCGACUAAGCCCUUGCCGGUUCGAGUUACGAGGUUAGCCAAUGGAUUGGGCGUCCCCACAAGUACAAUUAAUUGAUGAGACAACGCUCCAAUCGAUUUAAAAUCGGUCAUAAUAUUGAGUCGGGAUGAGAGGCACCUCCUAGCCAAAUAGGGUGUCGUACAUAUUGCCGCUCAGUACUCACGAGUUAAGACAUGCUCGAGUACAAGUUAUACAAAUUCAUAUUUUAAGCAACAAGCAUUCAAGAGAGUGAGAAUGAGGGCGGUAAAGUACACUCUAUCCUCGGCAAGUUCACACGAAUCACAUAGUACUUGUACAAUUACUAUAUCAACCAUAGCAACAAGAAGCAUGCACUUGACACUCACCAAAAGUCAAGAGCAAAACAGGAGGAAAAGCAAGAAGUCAAAUGAGUUCCUCUGUGUCCACGUGAUCACCUAAAACAUGUACAAUCACGGUUACCUAGGUAUUCGACCAAAACUAAGAAAAAAUAUCCCCUUGCUACCCACACUCAAGAGCUAUAAGUUCAAAUCGAAUAAAAGAGACUUUCUUGCUUAAUUAUUGAAAUAAUAUUCAAGGAAGAGUCAAAAGUCAUUUCCGAGUCAAGUUGUGGCAAGAAAUUUCGAUUUUAAAAGAGAAGUACCAUGCUUAAUUUUUUGGCACGAAAAUCGAGGAAAGAAAAAUUAUUUUCAUAUCUUAAAAUUUCUAAUCUUAUGCCCAAGUUUUUAGAAUAUAAAUGAGCGUUCAUAUUUUCUAAACUUAUGAAGUCAAAACCAUCAAAACUCUACUUAAUUCAUGGUAAAUAUUGAAGUUAAAAAUUCCAAGUUUCAAAUAUAAAGUUAGUGAAGUUCCUAAAAAAUUACUCUAGUUAAAACGCUCCAUUUAUGGUUCAUUUUUAUGGAAACCGAGGGCACAAGACUAGGAGGUGAAAUCCAUUUCCCAUGUAGGAAAUGAGGUGCAAAUAAUCAAGAAGGUUAGGUUUGAAACCUAGAAAAUGUUCCCAAACCACUUUGGAGUUUUGGUCACUUUAUAGGGAAAGUUUCAGUUUUGGCAACCUUUUUUUGAAAAAUCAUAACCUGAGUUCCAUAAGUCCAACAUUUGUAAAUCUUAUACCGUUGGAAAAUAGACUCAAUAAACUAAAACUCUCUAGGAAAUACUUUUUCAGAUUCAAAUUAGAAAUCAAUCAAAUCUGAGAUCCAAAUCACUGUUUCAAUAAGAACAGGGCAAAACAGUUUUGAAUUUUAGUUAAACUUGAAAAUUUAUCAAAAUUCAUAAGAAUCGAACUAGCUCCUGAAAUUUAUACCACUGAAAAAAAUCCAAGUCUAGUUUCAAACGCAAUAAGCGGAACUCAAUUUGGAUCUUCCCACGCCAAGAUACAACAGUUUUAUGAAAGCUGAUUUUUAAACCCUGGUUCACGAAAUUCCAGCAUUGGAGUAUCUGAUGCAGUUUCGAAAUCAAGUCAUAAAUAAGGCUACACACAUCCAAAUUUAGUGUGGUUUAUGGCGUUGAAAACUAGAUUCAAAAUUCUAAAAAUCACUAGAAGAAACUGUCUUCAAAUUCAUUUCGUAAAGGGAGUGAAAGUGAGCUACAAACUGCAGCUAUGCUUGUUUCUCGGUUAAAACAGAGAGAAAAAAAAACAGCCAACUUUGCCAGUGCUGACCAGAAACAAACAAUAUUCUCAAGGCCACUACUUGAUUUCAACUCCUGUACAAAAAAUUAUGGGCUGAUAAGUGCACCCUGGAAAGCAGUGCUGACCAGAAAUUUUCCGGGUUUGACUUCCUCCCUUUUAACUUAACUUUAACUCAAUCAAUUGAAAUGUUUUUUCGGAGAUAAUUUACAUACAUAUAAUCCAACAUAUAACAAGCAUUUUAGCAUCAAUAUAACCACUAAAUUCGAAAUUAACACAAGAGAAAAUGAACCAGCAAAAUCGGGCAGCCUUGCUCCCUUUUCUCUUCAAAUUUUCUUUCCAAAUCUUCAUACCAAAACCAAACUAUAAACCACUAAAAUAACAACCAAACAAACAAUAUUCUCAAGGCCACUACUUAAGAAUCCGCCUCAAGACAUCUACCUAAAGUCAAGGUUCAUGGAACCCAUCAACAGCCCAAGCUUAUCUAGUGAAAAACUAACUAAAACUAACCAUAAGAUGGAAGAAAAAUGAGAGCUUUGAGAGUUACCUUCCUUCCAAGAGUAGUAGGCAAAACCACAAGAGUUUAAGUUUUAAAUCACCAAGAAUCUCUCCUCCUUCAAAUCUCCUACUAAGCUUGAGGAUGCUCCAAGAGAAUGGGCUAGGUGGAGCAAGAUUUAGGGAACAAAAUGAAGAAGAUGAAGCUGAAAUUUUCUUGGCAAAUGGAGGGAGAAAUGGCCGGCCAAGUAAGGAGAAGAAGAGAUGGUUUUGUGAGCCUUUUUUUUUUUCUUAGUGAUGUAUAGGCUAGAAUGAAGCAUAAGAGUCUCUAAUUGGUUACUAGUGGCAGACAAGAAUGAAUUAGACGAGCUUCUCUCGGUUCCACAUAGAAAACAAUAGUUGGUGCUAGUAGGUUGUAUAGCAUUCUCAAUUCUUAAUAGAAGACAAUAAUAAAUACUAGUAUAUUAUCCCAUUAUAGGUUCUAAUGGCAGACAAGACACAUAUUGGUAGUUCAAUCCUUCCUUUUGGUUUCACGUAGGAGCUAAUACCCAUUCAUAAGAGUUUUGAUUUCUAACAAGUACUAGUAGUUCCUUUUAGUUUCUAACUAGAAUGGAAAAUGCAAGAUUUUGAUUCUUGCACAUGUUAGGCAUUUACAUGCAUUGAAGCAAAUGCUUUUCUACGUUUGUCUUUUAUUUUUUAUAUAUAAAGCAAAUGCUAACUAAUACUAAUAUUUAAUGGUGUAAGUGAUACAAUUUCCUAAGGUAUUACCGGUUUAUUUAUUAAUAAAAAUAAGUAAUUAAACAUGUAAAAGAAUUUAUCGGGUCCUCACACAUAUCCUCUCUAACCAAAUUAAUUCCCGAUACAAGGGAUAAAAUAAUCCAUGAAAGAGGUGGUAUUAGUCAUCCCGGGAUGACUAAUAGAUAGAAUGAUAAAAUUUUAUACUAAUUUAUCUUUACUACAAAUACAAAUUUAUACUCGUAUAAUUAUAUAGCCCUACUCCCACAUAAUAAUAUAAUAUGAAUGGACUAAUUUGCUCCUACUAACUAAUUUCAAAGUUUUUUAAGUAAUUUGCCCCUACUACCAAUAUAAUAUUUUGGUCGGAAUCCACCACAUAUCUUGCACGUGAUCAUUUUUUAAGGGCAAUAUUGUCAAAUCAAAAUUUACAUAAUCUGAUAGAUAGUCUCUCACAUUUCAUAAAAUGAAAUUUUUUUGUCUCUCGCAUUUCAUAAAAUGAAUUGUUUCGUCCCUCAUAUUUUAUAAAAUAAAUUUUUUCAUCCCUUAUUGAUCAUGUGUAUGAAUAACUUUUUUUUAAACUCAUGUAUAUAUAUAUAUAUAUUUAAUUUCAUCUGAACAAUACGAAUAGCAUGUAACAUACCUCUAUUUGAUUUCGCUUGAACGUACUGUUCAGGUGAAAUUAAAGUAGAUAUAUACAGGGGUUUAAAAAAAUUGUUAGUUUUUUUACUCAUGUUUAUUUUUUUUAUUCAAAAAUUGAAAAUAAAGAAGACAUUUAAUCCUAAACAGUAUCAAUUAUUUAUAUCGAAUUAAAUUUGGAUAGAAAAAAUAAACAAAGAAAAGUAUGACAAAAAGAAGUAAAUAAUUGAUACUUUUAAAUUUUAAGAUAAUCACAAGGCAAGAAAUUCAACUAUUGGUCUUAAAGGUGGUGAGUAAAAAUUUCAAAUUUAAAUUGUAAUUUGUUAGCAUGACUAUAGAAUUCGAGUUAGGAUCGAUUAAUUAUAUGGCCUUAUUACACAACUCAAUAAAUGAAUUAUUACCAAAAUAGAAAAGUUAUAAGUAUUGAAUACAUUCACAUAGUGAAAUCAAAUACAAUUCAUUUUAUGAAAUAUAGAGAACUAUAGAUGGAUUAUGUAAAUUUUUAUCACAUACAAGGCAUAUGAUGAAUUCCGGCCAAAAACUAGUUAGAAAUCUAGGUAGGGACCAAAUUUGAUCAAUGUGAAUUUGUAAAGGACGUAAAAUUAUAUUUUUAAAAGGAAGAGACGAAAAAAGUUAUUUUACAAAAUGUGAGGAACAUUUUGAAUGAUUUUCCUUUAAUCUAAACUUCCCAAAUUAUAUUUGAACUACCAAUUGCCACUUGGAAACCUUUAUGUGAAAUUACAAUUAUAGAAUGAGAACCUAUCCAAUGUUGGUUUCGUGGUGUUAUGUCAUCAGCUGUAUAUUGUGGUUGCUUUGACAAAGUUUGAUUAGGAUCCCGAUUACUAAAAGUAAAUUAGCCAAUUGAGCAUUUUGCAUAAGUGGAGGGUACAAUUUAUAAUCAGAUCAAUAACUAGAGGGCCAUAGUGCAAAUUUUGCAAUGUUUAUCUCUUCCCCGCCGCUUCAUCAUGUUUGUAUGCAUCUUCUUGAUGCGUAAAUACCAGAAGAAGCAAAACGGAGAGACGGAAAUUUCAGGGAGCAUCAAGGGACCAGGAUUGAUUGACUUCAAGUAAUUUAAGGUAAAUAAAUCAUAUACUUGAGUUAUAUAAAGCUGAAUUGGAUUGAAUUGUAUAAACAGUCAGCCUGAGCAGUUUUGAAAAAUCAACUAUAACUUAGUAUAGAAAAGCCAAAAUUGAGUGCUGUCAGUAGCAUUUGAAACUAGAUUCAAAAAUCUUUCCAAAGAUACAAUAUUCUAGCUCUAGUUCAUUGUCUAUUAAUAGUGGAAAAUUUGCAAAUUUGGCAUGAAAUCAUGACCUGCACAGCUAGGGACUGAAAAAUUGCAGUGACUUGCAAAUUAAUUUAGACUAGCUUAUGAUCCAAAUUUCUAAAAUGUUCUUCUAAUGAUCAUUAGUGCUUCAAGUCUAGUUUCUAACAGCACAAUUUUUGUGAUUUUUGACAUAUAUAACCCAAGUUGCAAAUUUUUAAAGGAGCAUCGUUAGUGAUGAUUUAACAAGUGACAGCACAGUAUUGACAUUAGAUUGUUAAUGUUCUAAUUUGCUAUUUUAGGGGAAGAUUAAGGGAGGAUCGGAGUGACUUUUGACCGGACCUUGAAUUAUCCUAGAAGUUGGUAAUUGGCACCUUCCUAUCUCUAUGGUUUUUGAAAUGUAUUCUAAAAAGGUUUUAUUUGCUAAUUGUUAUGCAAAAAAUGUAUUUUGUUAUAUUAAAUUGGAUUGAACAUAUGUAAUUUUUUUAGGACUAUGUACUUAUGAAUGAUUGUACUAUGUGUUUAAAAGUGAUUGCCGUUUGAUGUUUUAGACAUAUUGGACUUAUUAAAACAAGUAAAUGAUAGGAAAAGGCUUUAGGCUAUGUAAAUGCUGGUAUGGUCUUGCCACGGGAUGUAAUAGUGGGUAACGGUCCGAUCACGGGUAUAAAGUGACACAUAGUAUGAUAUAAGGAGUUACAUUUUAAAUGGAAUAUGGCCCUAUCACGUGUAAAAAUAGUGAGUAAAGGCCCUAUUACGAGUAUAAAGUGACCAUAACAUGUUUUUUAACUGAAGGCAAAGUGGGAAUAAGAAAAGAUCACACGGAUCAAAAUUAAAGAAUUACAAAAUAUGAAUUUGUACAUAAGUAUGCAUUACGUAUAUGUGAAAUGUCAAUUGUGAUUGAAUUACGUGAAAUGAUUUUAUUAAAUGUUAUAUUUCUUAUUAAUAUGUUCGAUCCAGUACAGAUAUGAAUCGACUUCUUUUUGAACAAGCCGACGCUCUCCCCCACUUAAUUGGCUCUCAUGCAAAUGAGAAUCCAGUUUAGGAUGAGUUGAAGACUAGCUUUGAUCAAGUUAUAUUCUAGAGUUAAAUUUUGCUAAAUUGUAGCCUAUAUGACUUUUGUACCCUAGUAAUGUAUAUAUGUUGAAAGUUUAGUGUAAAGUAUCAUAUGAAUGAUUUUCUAUGUUUGGAACAUUUUUUUAGCACAUUCAAAGGAAUAUGUAAAUGUUGGUUUAUAGUUAUAAACCCGAUAGACGGCUUUAUAUCCUCUUGGAAGGGUAUAUUGGUGCCACGCUUCAAAUUAUAAGUUAAAUAACCCUUUUUUAAAUAUGGUUAUCGGAUUUGGGACGUGACAAGGUGGCUUGGGGUUCAACCGUUACAUACAUGGAGCUACAACUGUUACUUAUUUAGUAUACGACAUUACUGUUUGAGGAGGUUUAGAGCCUUUCCUCCAGUCCCCUGUUUCCCUUUUAGCCAUAUGUUGUAUCAUUCGCAUCAGCAUUCAGCUUCGCCUGUUGAAGUUGGAAGAAUUCCAUUCUUUCUUCUUCUUUUUUUUUUUUUUUGUGGUUCUUGGGUAAAAACGCGGAGCGUCAGAACUCAUUUUCUAUUAAGAGUUGUUAACAAAAACUAUUGCAUUUAGUUGAUAAUUGUGUUUCUAAGAAGAAAAAAGGUAGUCAAGCAAGGUAUCUAAACAAUUAUGUAAAUAAGAUGAAAAAGCCAUCAAAGUAUCAAACAAACACAGCAUUCACUUUUUUUUUUUUUUUUUUUUUUUUGGGAUAACCCUUCUUCCAUGAGAUAUCAACAAAAAAUUGGUCGGUGCAAGUCAAUUUCACUUUGCCAAUUUUUGGAAUGGUGGUAAUGAAGUUAGCCUAAUUUCUGGUAGUCUCUUAGCAUAUGGUGGCUAGGUUUUUAGAACAGUAAGUCCUCUUUUUAUAACGUUUUUAGCUUCUUCAUGGGCACACAAGUAUCAGACGAGACAACCCGGUGCUAAAAUGGAUGAAGGAAGUUUUUGUUCCUAAAUCUCAACAUGGAUAGGGUUGGGUAUAAUGAGCUUUUUCCUUUUGUGUCUUUUUUGGUGAAAUACAAUAGUUGCAUCCGUGUCUUUUUUCAAACUGAAUACGCAAACUUGGUAUUUCAACCUUUUUUUUAUUAUUAUUACAAUGAUAUAUUGUUUUUUCUUAUUAUAUAGAAUAUGGUAGGGGAAAAAAAGUAGAAGUUUUAGUGGGGCAUAUAUAGAAUUGGGUAACGCACACCCAUUUGAAAUCAUAUAUAUUUAUGACUCGUCCAUUUUAACCAUUAAUCAAAUUGAUAUAUACGUGUUGAUUUAAUUAUAUUCAUCACCUAAUUAUAACCCAUUCAGACAAGUCUAAGGGUACAUUUGAUAAAACUAAAGUCUGAAAUUUGAAAUCCGAAUCCAUUAAAUUAUUGAUUUAUUAAGUAUUAAAUUUAAUACAUUUAAGUGCAUAUCACAUUUAGUGAUAAGUGAAUAGUUUAUCACUUAAUUUUGAGAGUAAGUUUUGCCUAGAAAAUUCAAUGCUACUUAAUUAAUUCGGAUGUUCAAUUUUUAGUUAUCAAAUGGUAUGAAUAUGUUAAUAUCUGAAUCCAUUAAGUUUCAAUCUUAAAUUGGAUUAUCAAACAGGGGAAAUCACUGAUUUUAGCAACUCUACUUCUAACUAAUCACUAUAACCUAAUAAUUUCAUGAAUAUGCAAUAGACGAAUCAGGUAAUCAAUCCCUUCUCCUCACUACAAUACGGGUUUCUUUGUGUAUCAAGAGUUUUUUUUCAUACCACGCGCUUACGUAAAAAUCAUACCAUGCGCUUGUGUAAAGAGCAUUCAUAUAUUUCCUCCGUACAGCUUUACCACCGUUGUUUCAAACCAGUCUUAUCCUAUUUUUUUCUGUUCACUUAGAGGUAUCCCAAUUUUUUGAUCAAACUAAUCUCCUAAAACUGUGUGUAAAGCCUUGCCUGAAGAAUAUAUACAACGAGAUAACACAUAAAAAUCGAUUAUGGAACCUGCUGGUAAUUAUCGAAUUGCGAAACCAGUUGAACUAGCCACAGGAGGCCCAAACCACUCUUAUCAUUCUUUAGAAUUUUCGUAUUUACAUGUUGAUAUAUGGCAUUGCUUUUUCUGUGAUGACACUGAUGCCUCGUCCAAGCAAUGAUGUUCAAAAGCUGGAGUAAGCCCCUUACGGUUCCCUCAUCUAAGCAUUUGAACCAUAUCGACCUAUCUAGCAAACAUCUCUCACAUUUUCACAGAUUUGGUACGAGCCAAAUUUCCUGAAUACGUUGAACCUUUUUCAAGCUUAAACAUAAUGAAAAUUUAGACAAAAAUCAACACAACCCAGUCGAAAAUAAUUUGCAAGUCCUUAUCACAAAUACCCCAAUAUUCAUUUACUUCAACAACAUAGCCCAACUCCAACGCCCGCGCCCCCCCCCCCCCCCACCCACACACAACACAAGGAAACCUCCGAAAAACAACCGACCAACCAACCAAAUAAAUCAGCUUCCUUCCCACCAUAAGCACGUGUAGUCCACGAGCAUUUCUUUUGAAGAAAUUCUGGUUAUAUAGGAGGAUAUUAAAAACAACUACGAGCUAAUAACAGCAAUCUCCAAAAUAGUCUAAAAUUCAUUGUAUGGCAUUGUUUUGGAGCAUCCAAACCAGUACAUCAGUCUAUGAAACUCGGAAAUAUAUAUAUUACAUGACAAAAAGUUCAUGAUAAUUCAACUCUGCCAGCUAAUUUGGAGACAUGAAAUGUGCCCGGGCAAGAUGGUAUUCUUUCCCGGCAAUCACAACACCAGUAGACGUCCAAUUGAUAUCCUCCCAUUCUAGAUUGUCUGCCAAUACCUGUCAAAUAAUUUCAUGCACACAGCAAAAGUUUAGAAAAAUGGAUCCUGUCAUAGAGACAUUAUGCUAAUUUUUCCUAGGUGACACUUGCAGGUUAGGAGUCCAAGUCAUUUCAUUUUGUCUACACAUUCAUGUACAAUUGUUUGUUGCUCCAUUUUCAUUGAUUUGUCCAUUUAACUUGCAAGGGAUACCAUUUACGAGUUCUUCAAAAAAAAAAAAAAAACUAAAAGCUUGAUAAUUUGAGAGAACUACAAUUAUCCCAAGAAACCAAAACUUGAGAUUUCAGAAGUUGCAGUAAUGCUUUUAGUCGUGCUCUCUUCAUGUCAAACUAAAUAUACAUAGAUAAACUCAUAAGACAAGGAAAGAAAAGACAACCCCCCCAAAAGGUGGCUGAUCUACUUUCAGUGUAUGCUAAAAAAGGUCAAUCUCAUAAUGAAUGAAGAAGGACCAUUCUACAUAGAUGUAUUAAAAUCUCAAUAUAUCUCACUCCUUUCUCUUUCCAAAUAAGAAGAGUUGCAUAUCACAUUAAGAGAUUACCUCCACAUGCUCAAGGGGCAGUGGGAUCCCAAUUGAUAUCAUCUUUGUUUGGCGAAGGAGAUUCUUACAACGAGACCAUCGGAAGGCAUCUAUAACAACAUUUUCUCCAUCCAUCAGGCCUUUUUCACCAUUUGAAGUAUGUGAGCUAUGAGUUACAGAUUUGUCAGCUUCUGCUUCUUGGGCCUGAGACACUGAUGUAGCCUUUACCAUCUUCUCUCCAGCAAAGCAAAGCUCAAACCUAUACUUGCACGAGUUAAGAGUAAAUGAAUAGCAACUUGCCAGGAAGGCAAUAGCAAUUAUCAGGUUGCAUCUUGAAAGAAGAAGAUAUUCCCAUGCAUCAAGAUAAAUAAAAGUGCUAACAGUUUGCUUUUAUGUAAAAUAAAAAGAAAAGAAAAAGAUUUAAACAUUCAUUUCCUCUUGCAACAGCCUCUAACUAACAAACAAAUAAGUCAGAAAAUUUUGAUCCAGGCUAAUCAGAAAAUGCUAAAGCAAAACUCAUCAUAACAAAAAAUUAUGUGUAUAGCUCAAUUAUCGCUGUCCUGGAGAGAGAGAGGAGGCCCCAGUAGUCUCUUUACUUUCCUGUUUGACAAAACGGAUAUUGUAAAAUAAUUUCACCGAGGAUGCUCAAAAUAAAACUGAGCAUAAUAUGAUACAUGAAUCUUUUAAAAAAAAAUACCAAUAAUACUCAAAUAGUUUGAUUAGCACAUCCUUUCUCCUGUCUAGAUAUUCUAUUCAAACAUGAAGAAUUGAUUGUUUCUCGAAAGGUAAAUACAUUGACUUAAACCAGAAGCAUGAAGAAAACAUUUGCUUACUAUUACCAACCACCAUUACCUGCGGCUAUGGGUUUCCAAGUAGAGUACUUCCCCCUUUUUCAAGCGCGAAGCUGUAAACAGGGGUUUCUUAAGCCCCUUGUCUGCAACCACACUGAUGCUGUAUUUAAGCCUAGACAGACAAAAGGAAAUAGACUAAUCAAAAGAGCAAAGAAUAGGUGAAUAUACAAGAGCUUAUCUGAUUUAUCACUAUGAAGUUUCACAAUAAAUUGGUCAUUUUCUAAUCAGUUCAGGUAAACAGAUUUAUACAAGCAUGUCUCUUUAAUAGUCUAUAUGAACUCUCUUGGAUUCUCAGUCACUAUAAAUUCAUUGCUGCAGCACAGAAAAGAUGAACAUGCAAAAUUAUCACUAUAAUGCACAUAUGAGAAAAGGUUCUACCGGCUAAGUAGAAGAUGGGCUCCACUAAUUUCUGUCUGUACUACUUGUAAGCCAAAAAAUUCUUGAUUUGAAAGACGACCAAUUUUGCCAACUAAAAGCACAAUUCAAGAACUUAAGAAUCAUUGCUAGUUUUAUGUAUUACAUAUGAUGUUUCACCCCCAAAUGCAUGUCUUUAUCUAUUAAGCCAGAAACAAAGAAAGUGAACAGAAUUUACAACAAUACUAGAAAAUUGUCUAAUUCCAUCCUUUUUUGUAGCUUUAAAAACACGAGAAAAUCUUACUACGAAAUUCAGCCAAUGGUCCCAUCCCCCUGGCAUCCAUAAUCUUCCUACUCUAUUUACCAACGAAAAAACUUCUAAUACUUACCAAUAAUCAGUUCCCAAAAACAAAAAUAAAAUCCUUCAAAAGAAGCAAACUAGAACAGUCCAAGUCAUAUUACUUACCAAGGCUCACCACAUAGGUUGAAUUGCACAGUCACUUCUCGUACAAAUCUUUGUUGUCGUAGUGCAUUCUAGAGAGAGAGAGAGAGAGAGAGAGAGAGAGAGAGAGAGAGAAAGGGGUGGAGGGGAGAAGGGGAGAGGUAAAGAAAUAAAAAAAGUUAGUUAAAAAUAAUACAAAAAAAGGUAUACAAUAGCAGCGUCCUUAGUAAACCAAACAUAAUAUGCAUAUUUGACAUUUGCAAUCUGUUAGAUACUACUCAGCAAGCUUACAACGCUCCUUGAGCACAUCUCUCGUGUCUUUUGAAAUUUAGAAGGGCUAAUCCAUCUAUUCAGAACACUUAGAAAACCCGUAUCUUACAAGAACUUAAGACAUCUAAUGCUCUUAAAGAAUACUCCUUCCUCUGGAAAAAAAGAAUGAAUAGAUAAGAACGAAAGCAAAACCAAUGGAAUGAAAAUGAAAAAGAAGAUAAAGAAAGAUGAGAUAAGAAGAAAAAUUUUCCUGCCUAAUCAAUUAGUAUUUGAUAGCUAUUAGCCGCUAUAACACAGCUCCAGUAAUCAGAAGUGGACUAUUUAUGUUUGCCACUGCAAAUGCGCAAGUCGCGCAAGUCCGCCCCAAGACACUAAAAAGCUUGCAGUUACAGCUCCCACCAUCCCCUCCCUCCCCAUCACAAAAAUGAAAAUUGAACAUUCUCGUAAGAUGAUGAAAUCACAUAAACAAAGAAACAUAGCAGCUGUCAAAAGUUCACCCAAAAAAGGGAAAAUCAACAUUUUCAAACAUAUAUUUGACCUCAACCAUAACAAUAUGACCACCAAAUCCCAUUUAAAUGAAAAAAUUGUGAACUACCAUGACUAAGAACAUAGCAGAUCUAAGGCAUGAUGCUCUAGGGCAGCUCUUUAGUUGAAACCAAAGUAGGGAGGAAUACCAGAAUAAAUACAGCAGCUUAUUGAGAUCCACAGGCAACAACAAAACCAAUAUAGAACAAGCGAAAAAAGAAAAUAAGUCCUGGAACUAUUAAACUCCCAAAUAAAGUUAUCUGCAUUGUCUUUAGCAUCUUACAGGGAGCAUCUUUUGUAAAUCUUUCAGAAGAAUUAUUGUUCAAGGUUGUGUUUGUUUUUCCCAGAAGCAUCAAAUAAAGUUUAAAGUUCUUAAAAUGUAAUGACAACAAUGCUAGGAAAGAUGAUGCAAAAAUCAGGAAGGUGGAAAGCAAAUGUUCACACAGAAAGAGUUUAAUCUGAGUUUUGAAUAAGUACCGAAGCUGCAGCCCUGGUAGUCAUGGUGCGCUCAACAGCAACUGGGGCAAGAGUAGGCUCCAUAGAAGAUGAAUGUGUAAGACAUGGCUGUACAUCAAAAACUGCCCCUCCUUUCUGAAGCACAUGUAAGGUGGACGAAACAUUAAACUGUGCCCCAGCAAAUAAAACUUGCCUGCUCUCUCAGCCCAUAGAAUAAACCAAUGAAAUAUAGAUCUUACCAAGUCAUUUAUUGUUAGCAAGCAAUUAACAACCACAAAGUUGACAACUAAAAUUGCUAGAGAAUGACAGGGACAAAAGAUUCAUACAAUGCAACUUCUAAAGUUGAGAUAACAUAGUAGUAAGUGUUGCAGAUAAAGAAAGGAAAGCAUAGGAGAAAUGAAAAAAUGAAGAAUGUAAGAACUCGAACCUUCACGACACAACAACGCUCAACACGGUAACUGCAGCCAAUGGCAGCUCCCCAAGAACGCGAUCUAACAUUGUUUCUCAGCAUUGAAAGAUAGCCUUUAACAUAAUUCAGUUGCGAAUUAGACAUAUAUCGACUGAUGUAUAUAUAAACUAAUAUGAUUGCAAAUAUUAUAUAUAUAACGUCAACCACUAGGAUCGCAAAUUGUGACUGUUGAGUACUCUAUAACAUGACAUAAAUUAGCAAUAAGUUUUUUCAAGACAGUAAGCACUCAUAUGAUGCAAAUUUUAAUCUAAACUAGCUUUGCAAGCACUCAACACCAGAAACAGUAGAUAUCAAGUUUCAUGCUGACUUACAGUCUUGUGGAGGUAAUACUCUGAUAGUGACACGUAACUCCUGAAUUGUAGCUUCAAGGGGUGAUGCAGUCGGACGACAAUAGCCAGUGUGCAUAAGAACUAGAGAGAAAGGAGCAUAUCAUGCAAUUCAUAAUUCCCAGAAUGGUCAUCAGAAUAUCAAAACACAAAUAAAAUACAAAACCACUUACCAGCAACAAGAUCCGAAUCAUCAGUAUAUAUGUCUGUCCCCCACAGCUGGCCACCUCUUACCUACGCAUAUGUAGUGCCAAGAAGAUUAAAUGAGUGUCCAAUUUGAUGCAAGCAAGUAGUGAUCACAAAAAAUCAGACAGGAGAGAUGGCGAUCUCACAAAGAAAGUGAAAUUAGAUUAAUCUGACAGGAGAGAUGGCGAUCUCACAAAGAAAGUGAAAUUAGAUUAAUCUGAUUGAUGAAAAGAAAAUAAGAGUAAAAUCAAUUAAUUCACAUUUAUUUGUAUACAUUCCGAUAUGUUACACACUUUCCCUAAAGGUGACUUAAUUCUUACAGUUCAUGAUAUUAAUACCCAAUUUAUCUUUUUUCAUUCUUUGAGAUCUCCUACUAUCAAAUUGACAUGAAUAUUAUCAUUUUUGGUUUCAUAACAUUUUUCAUACAAUAAUGGAAACCAUGUUAGUUAAGGGCACUUCUUAUCAUGUCCAGAAGUCAAUCUCCAACAUUAUAGUCAGAAUGCUGCCAGCGAAGUGGUUCCAAGGAGCAAAAGCAAUCCUAUUCAGUCCAAUGGCUAUCGAAACUCCAUGCUGCAUAAAGUCUACAAAGUUCAACCAAUUAAGAGCUUAACCUAACCAGAAGGUUCUUCCAAGGGAACCAAAUGUGUUCCCUGAUUCUUUUUGAUAUGUUCAAAGGAGCUUCCAGUAUCACAAGCUCAGAAAAAAAGUAGAUCUUGUGAAGGCACUUAAAAUACUUGAUAUAACUCAGUGACAGAAAAGUGCCAUACCAAUACUGUGAUACCUAGUUUAAAAUAUCACCAGCAACAAGUACCUUACACUCUAGGCAAUCAAUUUGAUAACAUAAUGUCUCGUAAAGUGGUGAAAAAAAAUAAAACAAAGCAAAACAAAACAAAAGCAAACAUCCUGGAGCUGAACAAAGGUCCUUGCUGGUGAUUUGUACAAAUAAAUUGUCCAGUUAGCAGGAACAAAAAAAAAAAAAAAGAGAGAGAGGGAGAGCGACGGAUACAGAGAAGAUUCGAUGGCUUUAGAACCAAGCAAAGGGCAGAAAUGCUGCCAGAGAAGAUCACCAGAAUUCAUAACUAAGGGGGUGCUUGGUUCAUGUUUUGGAAUUGGUAUUGGAGAUGGAAUGAUAUACAAAAAAUUAGUAUGGGUUUGAACCCCUGGUAUUAUUCCAUGGACUAGUGCUUGGUAUAAAUAUAGUUGGAAUGGUAUCAAAAUUAAUUUUUUAUUUUCUAAUUAUUGUUCUUGGAUUGAUAAUCACGCCCACCAUCAAAUCACUACCAAUCCAAAUCUUUUUUGUUUUUUGUUCAACAAUUAUCAACAAAAACUCAUGACUAAUCAAUAAAAGAUUUGAACGAUUUGAGGAGAACGAUUGCAAUGAGGAGGACGAUUUGAUGGCAAGGGAGGAGAAGAAAGGGUCUACUGGGGUGAGGGGGGAGUGACCGGCCGUGGGAGAAGAAGAGAGAUUUUGUCAGAUGCUAUGGAAAAGGAAAAAAAUCGGUGACCUCCAACUGGUCUUGGUCCCACCCACUAAGGCUGGACUUGAAGACAUCAAUGGGUCCUUUGCCAAGCUUGUAGAGGUGGACCUUGACCUCGGGCACCUUCAUUCUAACCGAACGGAUCUUACGGGGAGAAUUCAGAUAAUAACGGUGAUGACUCGUCGGCGUUUGCUGGUGCUGCUUCCUCUUCGAUUUCUUCCAUUUGAAUCUAUUUUUCUGCCGGCAAGCCCAUGUGGGUGUUGUCAAAUGCUGAUAAAGAGGGAAAAAUAAGAAAAAAGGGAGGAGUUGCCAGAUGCCAUGGGGGAGAGAGAGGUGUUGAAGGCAGCGAGGAAGGGGAGGUUCGAUGGUGGAAGUCUGGGAGAGGGAGAAAGAAAGUAUUUUAACAAAAUAUUUUGUCUUUUAUUUAUUCACUGUUGGAAAUGAGUUGAGGGUUUUGAGUGAUUCCUUCCAAUAUAGUCAGGAAUCAUAAAUUGGACAUAAUUCCAAUAUUUCAAUUGCCAUUCCAGUGUACCAAGCACUAAGUAUUGGAAUUGUCAUCAUUCCACGUGACAACAUGGAUAUUUUUGGAAAAAUGCAUUUUGUAAAGUAAACUACAAUUGCAACAACUUUUGCUCCAAGAUGCCAGCUAUUCCUCAUGGUGCUAUUUAUGAAACCCAACUAACAAUAGAUCUCUUCUAAUUAAAAGUUUAACCUAGCCAAUCGUAAACAUGUGUUAUCCAGUCUUUCAUUUUUUGUCCACAGAAAAUUUUGGCCAAAUGAAGAAAUACAUUUUCAUCAUCUGUUUUAGUUCCUCAACUACAGCCAUUCAUUUUGGAGCAUACACCUCAAACUUGGAUUAUAACACCUACUUGACCCAAAAGCAGGGUGGAAAACAACUCAAAGAAUCACCUGGCGGUUUGCUGCAGAAACAUGCUCAGCUGGUAUCCGAAUAUCUAGAGUAGGACCAUUUGAAGAACUUUCAGACAUCUUAUCUGCUUGAGAUGCUUCAUAUUCUUUCCAUACUUUAGUUAGCUCUUGCAUGGAUUCACCAACUUUAUAAACAAUGGUGGACACAUCAGGUUUACCUGCCAUUAAAACAACAUUAACGUACAAAUUGUGAUACAGAAGAUGAUAAAAAAUCUAAACCCAAUGAUUGAGUAAUUUACACAGAGAAUAACAUGAAAGUGAACAAAGCCUUUCACAAUGUACUGAAUGUACUCGAAUAACUCAGAAGGUCCAAUUAAAAACAAAUGAGGAUCAAAAGCACCUUAAAAUCUUUAAAAGUCUUUGCCAAACAUGUUUCUGAAAGAGUCUAAAGAUGCUCAGGUAGUCUUCACAUGAAUUGGAAGAUGGAAAAAGAGGAAAUUAAUAUUGUCAAAGGCCCUUAAUGCAUUACCAAGUACAAAUGCAGAAGCGCCAUACCAAAUGAAACCUAGUACAGCCAAAGUUCCUGACUGUUUUUCUGAGUAGAUAUAAAGAAGCAAGGUAUCACCUUUUUAAGCAUGCCAUGAACUGCUCAGGAAGUCUUUUCGUGAAUUUGGAAGAUGGAAAAAGAGGAAACUAAUAUUGUCAAAGGUCCUUAAUGUACUAUCAAUUCCAAAUGAAGAAGCAUCACACAAAAGGGAACCUAAUAUGGUAAAAGGUCCUGAACUACCGAGGAAAGAUGAAGCAGCAUGGUAACACAUUUGUAAGCAAGCCAUGAAAUGUAUUAAUAUCAUCAGCAUUCUGAUAACCCAAUAAUCUGUCAAAGUGUAUUUUAUAAUAUGCAAGAUGGGAUCUUAGACGAAAUCACACUGCCAGUUUGUCACCAGGGAACUUACUGGUUCACCCCUCUCUGCUUCCAGGAGGGGAAAGUCUUGAACCAUUAGACUCUAACAAAAAUUAAUAAUUACCCCCAUCAUACACAUGAUGCAACCAUAACAUUCUCAAGAGUUAAACAUGAAAAGAAUGGAGCAGAGAUACUCCCUCCAACCAAACUUCAAUGUCCUUAACUUCCAGGUUUGGGAAGUAACAACUCUUUCUGAUCUUUUCCCCCUUUCAUUUUCAGAAUUUGCUUCCACAUGGUAAUCUAUAUCAGUAAUUUCACAGAUCUGUUUCACUUGGAAUUUUGUUAUUUCUUCAACUGAUUUUUUCACAACUUAAAAACACAGAAAAUCACUACUCCAAACAAUCCACAAGUCUGACAGGGAACAAUUCAAAGAAAGCAUUCGAGAUGAACCAUUCUAGAAAGCCUGAAAAUAAGUUUGAAAAGUAAAUUUUACUAUUGUUCAAUAUAAAUCUUGUUAAUUUACUUGCUAGGAAACAAAUAUCGAAGCAUAUUCUGAAUAGUUAAGAACUGGGACACUUGUAAGAAAUGGGAUGAGUUGCAAUUUUAUACUUCCCUCGUGACUUAUAAUUUCUGGAGCCAUUUUCUACCAAAGGUCAUAAAGUAUGAUCUCAGAACUCUGUUAAAGCAAGUCAAAAGUCUAAAAAUAAAACAUUGGCUUUAUCACAAAUUGCUGUUCAACAUAGAAGAAAUAUUGAUGCUGCUUAGGAGUAGAACAUAUGCAUGAAAACUAGCUCCUUAGCAGCACUAACUGCACUGAGUCUGUGACAAUAUGGAUGCUCAUAAUGGAUGAGGAUUCACAAAAGCAAGGCACUGAUGAUGCAACGAGGAGAGAGCUGAGUGAACAACCUGAAUUACAGACUGGCACACAUUACAAGUGUGUGCACAGGUGCAUAUAUGUGUGUGGUUGUGUGUGUGUGUGAGAGACAGAGAGAGGGGGGUGCUUCCAUGAGAGGCUAUAACAGCAGAACAAAAUGUCAAUCAAAUCUUGAUUAAACUAGUCAAACCAUAUCGGGCAUAAUCCAAUUCUAACAUCUUAAGCCAGGAGGGGCACACAUCAAGUGUAACUUUCUGUCUAUGCAACACAAUAGAAUUUUUCAUGUAGAAUAUCAAUGCAGACUUUUUACGAGGCAAAGCAAGUUUUUGUAACCUUUUCAUAUAACUAAUUCAGUAGCCCAACAUCAGCAAUCUAAUGCAUAAGAAAUUUCCUACACAGCAUCACGGAAUAAAUGAUUCACAGAGUAAAGCAUGCAUUAAAUUCAAGCUGAAAAUAUAUCCGAGUAUGGAGCACUUCUGUUCUGCAUGUCCCACACUGUGUCCCAUGCCACAGUUCAAAUGUUCUAUGUUUUGUGUAGCCAUCGAAGGGUCUGAAAGCAUAUGAAAAAGAGUACAGAUGAAAGAAGAAAAAAAUCAUGCCAACAUUAAUAUGCACAUACUCCCCUUCUAUGAAUCAACUUCAUAAUUCUCUGUUGCAUGAAUUAACAUAACAGCUUACCUUGAGACCUGCGAAAAAAAUAACGGGCAAAAGGCAGUAAGUAACCUAUAGCUUUGAACCUAUCCAAGAAUUUGUAACAUUGUACGAGUAAACUCAAAGUCUCCUUUUCACAUGAGCAUGCAAACUACUAUGCAGUAGAUGGUAGACCGCUCAAUACAUAAAAUUCGCCAUCAGUAUUAAUGAUAAAUGCAAUUCCAUAACUCCAUUAACAUCAUAUCAUCAUCACAGAAAUAGUCAUUUGUCGCAACAUUAACCUUUACUCAUGAGCUGACUUGUCAAGUGUUUCUAUCAUGCCAGUAACUAAUUGACCAUAGAAUCAUAUAAAAUACAAUUUUUCAUUCCUUGGUACGAACUUACUGUUGAUAAAGUGGACCUCAUUUAAGGUGGCACUGUGCUACCUUUCUGCAAUUUAACAACUAAAGUCAUGCUCAAAAUUUCGAAACAGGGGUUUUUUCUUCUAGUUUCAAUAUUCAAUGGAAGGUCCUGAGAAGCUUUAUCGUAGGCGGUAAAUAUAAUUCUUCAAACAGUUAAUAGAGGUUAUAACAAUCGAUAGGUAAUUAUUCGGCCUAGAAAUUAUAACAGAAUAUGUUAGAAGCAGGUAAGGAAGUGCAUGCAAAAACCAAAGGUUACAAAGGUUAAUACUUUUAGUCUACCUAUGCCUUUCAAACAAAAUCACUACCUCAAUAUCAUAUAUACCACCACUUAACAAACUUUUCCCUCAGCUCAUCUAUAUCAGCAGUUUUUUCAUCAAGACCUUGUGGGAGAUGGCAUUUAUUUGAUUUGACAAAAUGGUACACACAUAAUGGACACCCUCUAGGAGACUAAAAGGUAUCAGUAGAUCAAGUAGGCAAGCCAAACUUGGGCCAUAUUGAGUACAAGGCAACAUUAAGUGUACUAGCCCUCCUACACUACAGCACCGAAUAAAAAGAAACACACAGAAAGUCAUUCUUUUGGGGACACGUAAAAGAGUUCAACAAACUAAAACACAACUAAUUGACACUUUUACUCAAAUUCAUGGAAAACUGAAGUCAUUGAUAUAAGAUUUCCAAAGAAUAGCCACACCACAAAUAGAUGAAUAUACUAUAUAUGCCUCAAAUGGACAUACCUCAAGUGCAAUAACUUCUAAUUGCAUGUCAAAAUAGCUAACAGCCAGAUCAGUAGUAAAUAUUACUCAAAUUUCCACCAAAUUUGACCAUGAUAAAUGUAAGCCUUGUUAUCAGCUCUGUACAGCAAUAAAAGAAAGUAUUCCACAGAAAUACCAUAACCAUAUUUCUUUUUCUUUUUUUUUUUUUUUGGUCACUAUGGGAUUAAAAGUACUCCUACACAAGAAGAAAACAUGUACAAAACUUAACCAAAUUCAUCUUGUUAAAAGAGCAAGGCACAUCUAGUCUUAUGAUCAAGUGUACUAAUCGGCAAGCAACAUGGUAAGAGGUUCUAUCUUAUAUAAUACUAUCAAAUAUCGGUGUCAUAUUCAUACUAUUACAUGCACAUAAGGAUCUUGAAAGCAAUAUCAAAAGAAAUCUUCACAAGCCCUGAAACUUUUACAUGUAACUUUAAUUGGAGACUCUAGAUCCAUACUCACCCAUUAAACCCACACCCUUCCUACUCUAGGUCCAUACUCACCCAUCAACCCUUCCAAGCAUUAAAACUUGUAACUUUAGCACUAUAUACUAGUACAAGGUAAGGAUAUAGGAUAAAUAUGCAUUGAUUUUAACUCGCCCAACUUUAUCUCCCCCUUAAAUAGGAAAAUGACCAGAGAAUAUCAAAGCACCAGAUUUUCAAAUUAAUCAAGCAUAUGGUAAGCACAGCUAAGCUUCUAUUUAAUAGCUAUAACGAUACGAUUCUCGAUAUGCCAAGACGAAUCAAGAACGUGAACCACAAGCCCUGGACCUAGGUUAAGGUAUAACGUUCGGGGAUGGAAUUCAUAAUCAAUCAAGGACUGCGCGAGAUUGAUUAGAACGGGAAGAAUGACACCACAAUCAAGGUGAUUACUUGAUUGAUAAGUCGGCGAAUCACCUUAGGCCUACUCUAAGAUGUUCAAAAGGCAGUCCAAAUCAAUCUGCUGUCUCUAAGAUGUAUUUAGGACAAAAAGCAAGAUGGUUCGAUUACGUUCAAAGACAAAUUAGGAAAAAGUAUCCUAAAUUCCACAUUCGUCAAGGAUUUGUGCCAAGAUCAGAUGCUCAGAAAAGUCAAACAAAUUUAUAAAUGUAGAUCAACACACAUACAGAUGCAAAACCUAACUCUACCUGUGCCGUACAACUUGAACCACAGCAAAAUUGAGAAAAUUAACUUACUUUUGCAUCCCGGUGACAAGAGAAACGAGGAGUAGAUCAGUGAGAUCUGUUCUAGAUGGAGGAUCUUUUGGAGGACUAAUAUGCCUACCGAGGGUCAUGUUUAGAAAUAGGUCAGGUUCAGGAUCAACCAGGGAACUAGAAGGGUAUUUCUUGAUUUAAACUAGAAGAGCAUAUCUCGAUUUAUAACAUAGAAUGUAACGCUUGCUCUUUCUAAUAUUGCCAUGUGGCUAACAGAGUUUCUAUAUCAAUUCACUGCCGUUGAUUCUGCACAAAAUUAGCUGACCUUGAUAAAUGCCAAAUGGCUCAUGCCUAUAUACACUAUAGCACUUCAAGUCACAGAAAAAGGAAAAUAGGGGUCUAAUAGGGUCAAGUAAUUGCAAUACAAAUUACUUCAAACCUAUACGAUCAAAUUCGUAGACAAGCACUUAGAUGGUUACUCUUAUGGAUUUCAAACCUUCAGCAAAAUGCACUAUGCAUACAAUACUGAAACUAAUGGAGUUGAAAUGUAUUGUAAACUGGUGUGUGUCUCAGAUUAAUUACACUCUUGCCUAACAUUGAGAUGAUGAGGGUAAAAAAUCGAGCAUAUUGUUUUCCUGCCCAAACAAAAUAAGAUCCUAACGACUUCAUAUUUAAGGAUUUCAUAUUAAUAACGUUUUUUCCUUCAAUCCUUGAGCAUAUUCCAUAAACUUCACAUGCUUAUAUAGUGCAUUUACCCAAUCCCAAGCUGCAGUAACACAGGAAACCUUUAUAUAAAAUCUAUCAUAUAAUUGAAACAGAUGUCAGGGGCUAUUCUUUUUUGCUUGAUGUUAUUUAGUCACAUUUAAAAGGCUGUCCUCACUCAAAAUAAGCUCAUUGUAGCUUAAAAACUCUUUUGAGGCAUCCCAGUGCUUUUCACUUUUAUUCUUAGCUUACAUUAGCUAAAAUAAUCCAAGCUCUCAAGCACCCUUUGAUUUUCUUUUGCAUAAUAGCUUUAGCCUUUCAAGCUGUUCUAACAAACAAAUCCUUGGAAUUGUUUAAAGAGUCUUUCAAGACAUAAUUUCUGACCAACUUUUAGAAAAGCUAAAGAAAACUAUAGAGGCCCAUGGGCUCUAUCUAGAUUACAGAGGAAAUGAUAGCUAUGUGAUGGGAUAAAUGUUCUCACACCAUGCUCAAACCCAAUCAAUAAUGCUAGGCAGGCCAGUCAAAUGGAUUAAAAAACUCAAUCAAUGAAUGAGUCCAGUUCGUCAUAUCCCGAGCCUGCCACAACCAAGUAUGAUUAAUUUGGCUUUGGAAUGAAAGAGCAUUGCAAAGUUACAAUCUAUACCACAUGAAAUUUGACAAUACCAUGCAUUCUACAAUAGAAAAAGCUACAUUUAAAAGUUUGUAUAUCAUAAAAAUAUUUUACUUAUGGUUAACAUAGAAUUAAAUUUUAAACGUUUUUAUACAAUCAAUGACUACUAGGAACUUUCUUAGUGAGAUAAUCAACUUUGAAUUAAAACCCAAUGUCACUGAGAUUUCUGAAAUUCUUUUUCUGAUUUGUUUUGUCUAAUUUGGUCAAGUUAAAAUGAGUUAUUAAAUGACUGAGAUUUUAUUUUGAAGUUGUUUUCCUUUAUUAGAAUUUAAGUAGACAUGUGACAGUACAAUUUCUGAUAUUGGCCAUUUAUUAUGUUCUUCAAUAGAAAUCUUGUUUCCACAAGAGUUUUUUUUUAGCAACUAUAGUUACAAAAAUUCUUUCUAAAGCCAUUUUCUUCUUGUGAAAAAUUUUAGUUGCAAUAUAAUGCAACAAAACCAAGCUUUCAAAAUGCAAUAUAUUUACCUUAGCGUAACUAUAGUUUGCGAUAGAUAAGUAAACCAAUGACAAAGUUGGUGUGUACCUGUAACACAAUCCACUGUUGUGCUAUUUGGUAUCAAGAAGCUAUUUUGAGGCCCUUUCUGAAAUGUCACUUGUCCACAAUGAUUUUAACAUGCUAACUGCUGACAGAAAAAAAUACCGCUUGCUAGACACACAAGAUGAAACUAUUAUGAACAGAUUGAAAGGGCGAAAGAGGUGAGCAAUCCUCUUUUUGAUACUUAAAUGUCACACUCACUCAACUUAUUCUGAUUUUCUUUCUUUUAAGCAGUCAUAUACCAUUUCUUUUAGUCUUCAUAAAAAAUGGCAAUUCCUUUUCGAAAUUCUAUUAUGUGGUUCACGGGAUAAUGAACCUAAUAAUUGCAAGCUCAUCUAUAUGGCAUUUUGAAUAUGGAAUUAUAAGUAUAAUGUAGGAGACAUGCAUGAUCGAUAUGCAAACAUGCUUGAUAUCUCCAUUUCAUUACGUACUUUUUCUGGCAUAUAGUGUUUAAUCUAAACACCAGUUCAGAUAUGACAGUUCAGAUAUGACCGAGAUAACGCACGAGUGCAUGCGAAAGAUCUUCCCUUGCACUCUUUUAUCCCUUCGAAAUCUUCAACCAUUAUCAUGUUUUUUCUUGAAAACUUUAUCUAAUCUAUUGGAUAGCAACGAGCCCUCAGCUUUUUGAAUUCAAUAAGUGAAUAAACAGGCGUUGUUUCUUUUAACUACUAUGUUAAGAUAGUCAAGUUAUUGGCUAGUGGAAAAUGAAAGACUUAGAGCAUUUGUGUAAGAAUGCCGGUGAGAGAGAGAGAGAGAGAGAGAGAGAGAGAGAGAGGGAGAGAGCAUCAAGAAGAAGAAACCAGACCAAAUAUCUAAUGAGAAUCAGUAUUGAACAAUACUAAUAUUCAUCUCAAAAAUUCACAAAAACUACUGCACCUUUUGCCUUUUAUGUUAAAUAAACAUAUAAGAUCGGGUUCUCCUAAAUCCAGAUAUAAAGAUGUCAAAACAGUUCAAAAGGGCAUUAAAAUUAGAUCUUUCAUAAAAUCCUGAAACUUCAGUAUUUCUAGCUUCCCAAGACACUUGGAGAAACUUCCAGGAAGGAACCACAUUAAAAUGCAUUUCCCUCUGAAUAACAUCCUUCCUCCCGAGUCAUCAAUACAAAGAUCAAGAAAAACCAGAUCUACCAAGAAAGAUCUUGUUCUUCUUUAGCAGCUAAAUACUUACAACAGAUCAAAGUACACCCUUAUAUUCGACUAUGAGACAUGGUAAAUUAGGCAUGCAAUCUUUGUAACUUAUUUUUAAAAAUUCAAAUAAAAAGGAAUAAAUUAAACAACCUUGACAAUUAGCAUUUAGCUACAAUUAAAAGAUUGUUGAUACGCAAAUUAUUAAAAGUGAGAGUAAUAACCAAAACAAGGGGAAAAAGACACUUCCACAAGUCAAGACCUGAAGUAUCAAAUUAUCUCGAAAAAUGCAUCUAAAGAAAUAAAGCAUGGGAUAUUGCCAUCUCCAAGAAAAUAAUAGGCAACCACACAACUUUUGAAAUCCAUACCCUUCAUUAUCUUGAUUGCGCGACCUAAAACGAGGAUCACGAUGAGUACGUUGAGGACUGCCCCUUGGCCUAAGCAUCCUCUUACGCUGCUGAACUCCAUAAUUAAAAACUUCUCUCUCCCUUUCUGCACCCCCUUCAGCUUCACCACAUACUUCAUCUGACUCCUUGUCAUGAUUCUUAUUGCGUUUCUCAUAUCUUUCACCUUCCUCCUCUGCAUCUCUUUCCUUUUUCCUCUCUCUAAUAUCCCUGUCAACAUUUUUCCAACUAUCAGUGUCCUUUUGUUUCUUUAAUUCUGAGGUUGGAUUCUCUAGCUCUGCAGCUCUGCUGGGGACAUCUACCAUUUCCUUAUCAUUGUGAGGACUUUCUUUUUCAGCUCCAUUCCCUGAUUCCUUUUUCAUAAAAUCCUUUUCUCUUUCUUUUACUUUCUCCUUUUCUCUCAAAAGAUCUUUCCUCUCCUUGUCCAACCUCUCAGCUUCUCUCUCUUCCCGCAUUGGCUCCUUGUUUUCACUAUUGCUAUUGCUGCACAACUGCAAAGCGUUUCGCAGGUCAUUUCUUUCUUUAUCCCUUUCUCCCC